Molecule: long non-coding RNA, 59280 nt
Filed under: Malus domestica (apple)
Lineage: Eukaryota; Viridiplantae; Streptophyta; Magnoliopsida; Rosales; Rosaceae
Description: long non-coding RNA (MDOM_LNC005219)
Source: RNAcentral
UACUGAUUCCACGCGUGUCACAGAUUUCCGGCUCAAAUCGGGUUUGCAGCCUCGGUAUAUAUCCUUCGGAUCAAGAAAAGAAAACCCUUUUGGGCAUUCGCAGGUUGGCCUUUUAUCUGGUUUGAGCAUACAGGUACUGUUGUAACCGCAAACACCAACGCCCAGUCGUAGGCAAAUAUCAUCCGGCAUAUACACCAGAGGACUAAUCCAACUUGCAUUUCCCGUGAAGUUUUUCUGGUGAGAAUAUAAAGCGAAAAUCCCAUCAAAAUCAAGAGUUGCCCUUAUGUAGUUGUCCCUCACCGACACUCCCUCUGUCCCCUUAAGAGGGACUCUUCCAUCAUUUUCUCUUAGAACAAACAUGUCCCCUGAGCUGCUGAACACCAAUCGUUUGCCUUGACUACCUGGCACGUUCCCUGACGUGGUCUUCGUGGAGAAGUAAGGGAUGUUGGCAUUAUCUGUUGUGACGGAAAUGAGCACGAGGUUUCCAUCACCUUGCAAGCUCAGCCGGAACCGCCCUUUUGUGUAGUUAGUCUCCGAUUGUCUACACGAAAGCGUCCCGUUUCUCUCAAUUGUCUGUCCAGGCAAAACGGUGUCUGUAGGAUUGCUGAAGGUCUCCCACAAGCUCCCCGAGUUUUGGUGUUGAAGGACGAAGUUUCCGGUGUCAUUCAUGACCCCGUUCGCAACAGUCCCCAAGGUUAUUUCGGAUUUCCAUAUCUCUCCACCCUGAGGAUUGUUAAGAACUAGUCCACUGUUGGCAGUCAAGUUCAGAACUGAUCCCCUAGGUGCAACCAUGGGGUUGUUACCGUCAUAUGCAUACCAAAACUACGGUUUUGUCUGGGAUUUUCGCAUACCAUAUCGAAAGCAAGAAACGAUCAUUGUUUCCGAGGGGCGAAAAUCCAAACGCGAAAUCACCGGAAGGAGAAAGCCAUGAUGAGGAGUCGCCUGUAGUUGCAGUUAGAGAACUCCCAACUGCUACUCUUCCAUUAUUUUGGGAAAUCACAGAAAUUGGUAGCAAAAACAAAGAGGAGAACAAAAGCAUCUCUACAGAAAGAGCCACUGCCAUUGCAAAAGCACCAAUUUUUCAACUUGGCUUGAUUGAUUAGCUAUAUUUCUUAGUAAAGCAUUGGUCCUUGUUAUAUCUUUAAGUAAAUGCGUGUGCACCAUGUGCCUGUCAUUUUCUAAGUUUUUGCCUGGAAUUAAAGGCGUCUACACCAUUUUUUGAAGUCACACACAACAAUAUCUCCGGGCCUACAGAAUAAAUUCUCCGAACCUACACAUAUCACAAGAAUUUCACUUUGAAAAAAAAAAUAUAAUGAAUAGUUCUAUAUAUAAUGACACCGAGACUUUUUGUGAUUGAAUUUAUUCUCUCUCAACUCCUUUGUAAUGUUGCAAGUUGGAGCAAUAUUGACGUAAUUAGCAAUGGUCCGCUGACUUGUCUCUCUCAAAUCUCUUAUCAUCCUACUCUCAUCCCUCGUCUGUUUUAUGAUUCUACUUACUUAAGCACUUAUAAAUGUUCCAAAUCAGCAAAGGACUUGUAACUUAAAUAAUUAAUAAUAUUUAUCACUACACUCGAGAUUCUAGGUUCCAAAAUAUAAUAUAUAAUAUAUAUGAAUGUUUCCGAACCAAAAGGACAAGUAAAUACGAGCAUGACUCACGCUGCAUGGGUCGGCCAUUCAAGUCCACCAGUCAAAAUUCAACAAUGGGGCCCACAAAGAAAAUUUGAAAAAGUACAUGCAGAUUGGGGACGGAUACAAAGAAAAUCUGAAAACAGACCUCCAGAACCAAACAAAGACGACUAAGCCUUUAAGUCAAGUGACAAGAGACUUAUAUCUUCACAAAAACAAAGACGACUAAGUCUCAAUUUCUGUAUUCACAAAAAAAAAAGUACUAACUGAAGUUUUUAAUGUAUGAUUACGUCGUUGGGGUAAAACACCCGAUGCCGAGUUGAGAUAAUCACAGGGUUGGGGAAUCAAGAACCUCUUCGAAUGUCACAAUCUAGCGCAAACGGAUGUAGAGACUCAAACCACUUAUUUUAAAUCAUACGGCCUUCAUUAGCCUAUCCUAUUGACCCACAUGGUCCAAAUCUGUCUCUCCCCUCUCUUGAACGGUUUGGAUAUCUCGAUUUGUCGAUUUUGGAUUGCGAGAUUCAAAGAGAAUCUGAUUUCAUGUUUGAGGUGAGGUUUGACGACCAUUUGAAGCCCGUUGAGGCGUGGCCCAUCUCAUCAGGUCGGGUCAGCCAUUUCGUACCAGGUUGGAUCCCAGGUCAGGCCAACCAUUUCAUUAGCCUAAGAUGGACCUGACAGACGAGGCGCUUGGAUAUUGCCUACCGCGACCAAAUGGACCCAUGGACUCAUUAGAUGAUGAGUCUGGACCCUGGUGUGUGUAAAGCCCACCUCAGCUCGAUCCAUAUUCGAUCGAUACUACAAAGAAGGUGGAUAUGAGGUAAAGGUAGAGUAAGCUCCAAGUCAUGUGGAGGUCAGUCGAGAUUGAACACACGUUCAUAGAAUCAUAGUAUCAAAUUCAAGUCCAAAUUUUAACACUACGAAACCGAAAAGCAUUGUUUCAGUCCAACAACCCAAACUUCCUUAAAAAAACUAAGACAAAAACGACGACACUAGGAAACGGAAAAACAUGCAACUCAGAAAACCAUUACUCUAGUCCAAAUGAGGUUCCUCAAUGCCUCAAGCUUUUAUAAAACACCAUAGCCUGAACCUUUUCCUUUGCGCCUUCUUUGCUUCACCAGAAACGUUCUUAAUGAGCUCCUCUUCAAAUUUGGGACGAGCAGGCAUUAGGCUGUGCACAAUGCUGUAAACGCCCCUAGCCCUUGCCACACCCUAGGUGCGUACGCGUGCAUGUCCGACCUGAGUUAUCUUAUUACGCGCGCAGUUUGAUCUUCCCGUAUUGACAUCCCUGCUGUCUAUUCUCCUGCGAAUCCUUCUGCUGGUGACUUCAUCCGAGUCCAUUUUCUUGCUCCUCAGUGCAUGUUCAUCUGCUUUUCCCUGUUAAUAAAUAUAGGAAUCCCAUAACAAACAGCAUUUGACAAAACAGAACGUAAUAAUAACAACAAAACUUGACUCCAUCCUCAGUGCAUGUUCAUCUGCUUUUCCACUUCAAAGCAGCUGACGGCACGAUUCGUACUUGGACUCCAAAAUGUCUAGAUUAUGGAGAAACCAGCCUUCUAUCCAAAACACACAAAGAAGUGUAUUUUCCGUUUAUACCAAUUAAGUGUGUUGAAGCAUGUCCCACAUGGCCACAUAGGAAACUUGUUGAGGUUUAAAUCCUCUUAUAUAGAAAGUUCGACUACUAAUUGCCUUGAGGCCUUAAUUCUGUAUAAAACCAUACCUAUUGAAUUGCACACGUGCUUAAGUUAAGGUCAGUAUUGAUGGUAAUUAGUAGUGGGCUGCUGGGCCGUCUUAAAAAAACUGGUACAAAGGGCAAUUUAUAGAAGCAGUGUUGAGAUAAGGGCAAUUCAUCUGUUCUUUUUAGAAGGAUAUAUAUGAAUGAAGCAAGGUUUAUCUGCUAAUGCGGCUCAGCCCUUUAUCAAAAAGUGAAAGAUCAAAAUUACUUUUACAGCAAGAGCAAUACCAGAAGAUGUAAUCUAAAUUAUUUAUAUUUGGUUCCCUUGAAAUCCUUUUGACUGCUUCAACAUACUAUAUGCAGACAGAACCAGAACCAAGUCCAGACUCACUCGUAAUAGGUCUCCUCAUCCACAACAAUAUCCCAGCUUUCCCUUGUCGUGGUUUUCCCAUAUUUGUGCACCUUACUGCAAAGAGAGAGCAAGUUAACUUGUCAAAGAAAAACCAGAACAAUAGAUGCCAAUGCAGUUCAAAAAGUUUAUUUCCCUUCAUACCCAUUUCCGAAGUGCUCUUCUCCCCAUGUCCUUGACCAACCUAGACAUGAGAGAACAAAAACAGAGUUACAUCAGAUUAAAUUAUUGAAAGAAAAAGGUUCACUUCUGUUGUAACAAAUCGACAUUAGAAUCAAGCAACCACGCUAUGAAAUACAAAUUUAAAAUGUAACAAUUUACUGUGUCUAAAAGGAAUCUUGAAAUAAAAUAGUUAAACCCUAAACAGCACCACUGCAAAUAGCAUAAGAAAAUUAAAAUUAACCCUAAAGAAAUUGGGAGAGAAGAAUAUGAAAAGGGAAUACCUUUCGGCCCCUUUGAGUUAUUGGAAAAAACCCAACAGAGCAAAAGAUAAACAAAAAUACAGGCGGAAAGAAAAUAAAUUUUCAACUUGUAAGAUUCAUACGCGAACAGAUUGGUGGUCAAAAGCAUUUCGGAAUUCAGAGCCAUCAAGCUUUUUGAUCUGCAUGGAAAUUAUUUAUGAAGUUUGAGAUUCUUAUAGACGCUUUAGACACAUCGACAUAUUGAGAAAGCAAUAUUCAACAACCUAGUACCCAUGCUCCAUAGAAGGUUGAGAAAAUAUGAAUGUCUGGACUCUGGAGUGAGAAAGUAAAAGGACUUACCGCAUACUUCAUAUCUUCUAACUUUGUGUAGUCUACAAUCCCUGUUGUGCCUACAAAAAAGGCAUAGGACAAAAGCUAAAUCAAUCGAAAUUCUGAUGUCAUGAUCUAGGUCUUAGGAUUAAACUAUUGAAAUAACACUAUAUGAAAUAGCAGUGUAUAUCCCAAAAAAAGUAUGAAAUCUGGUUGAUAAUUGCAGAGUUCGAAGGGAUUUACCUUUGGAUUCUUCGGCUUUCAGAUGGAGUUUGCUUAUGUAUGGGAGAGAGAGGUGGAGCGGCUAGGGUUUGAGUAUGGAAGAGAUGAAAAAUGGAGAGAACACCUGUUUUGGCUGCAGCAACUCACACACUCCGGACAAAUCUGCAAAUGUCUAAAGGGGGGAAAAUAUAAAAAGAAACCUUAACAACUGAAUUCAAAGAAACAUUAUUACAUUGUAAAUAGCAUUUCACAAAAAAAAUAAAAUAAAAUAAAAUAUACUAAACUAAACUAAUUACACUCGGAUUGCAAUGCUAUCAUUUAAUAAUAGGAAUUCCCAUAACUUAGCAGAAGAUCCUGCAUCUGCAAAGGAUCCUUUAAAACCUAUUUUUUUUAACAACCCCACACCUGCAACACAUCCAGUCAAGGUAAACCAAUAGCACCCUCAUGCAGAGCUCUUCUGUGCAUAUAUACCCCUUAUAAGUAAUCUUAAUCAAUCAGUUAUCAUGAAUAUACAACUUAUAUUAAUUUUCUACAAUAUCCAACACACAAAUAUAACAGAAGAGGAAACUUUUACUUAAGCAGCACAAAAUGAUAUCCUCUGCAUUUCAUUCCAAAAUCCAUCACUCUUAUGUCUUUGCCUGCACAGUUUUUGCUCCAACAUAGCCUGCAAUGAUGAUAUAGCACUAUCAAUAAUUAAGACAUAAAGAAAGGCUAUCCUAGCUAGGUAUUAUGAUUGGAGUAAACCAACAACACCAUAAGUAAAGUAGCAGACCAAAUUUUUUUUAGAAUUGAUGUCUUAACAUGUUUAAGUAGCAAAAAGAUUACAACACAUUGGAUGUGUUAACACGUCCAUAAGCUGAUGACUCCCUCUCCGGUUUACCACAUCAUUCUUAAUGUACUCAACAAUGCAGCAGCAAUUAAAAGUCCUUGGAAAAUGCCAAGCUACUACAAUGACAUAACGAAAACUAUAUCUCACCUUACACCCUUGUUGGCAUAGACAACAUAUCCGUCCUUGUUCGGGGUGAAUCAUAAUCCUGAAUUCAAUUAUCAUCAUCGUCGAGAAUGUCAAACUGUAAAUCAACCAUGCAUGGAACAAAACUUAGAAAUUAAACAAUUAUCAAAGCUUAUGAAGAAUGCUAAACCCAACUAAUUCGAAACAUAAAGUAACCCGAAAGAGAGAAAACUUAUAAAUUUUACAUAAAUUAUAAUCCUUAACAGAAGGAUGGAACAAAACAGGUUCAUUCUUAAGAAUAGAUGUAACUAGUAAUAGGCCUGCGCGCUGCUGCGGGACUUGAAUGCACCAGCCUUAACAACAUGAAUAAGACACAUUUAACAUGAAAAAAAUUCAACAUAAUCAUGAACGAACAAAAAGGAUAGCUGAGUGAACAGUGUUCGUAAGUAAAACAGCUUAGUUUUUAUAUACAUUCAACCAAGCUGAUUACAAAAGAUGUGAUUGUAAAAAAUGUUCUGCUUACCUGAGAAACAAAAGCAACAUGCAUUUUACACAUACAAGACAUCUGAUAUUAAACCUAAAAUCAUGUAAUUCUGUAUGAAGUGGAGAAUAAUGCAGAAAGAUGGUUUUCUAUAGUGCUGCCAAUGACAAUUAAUUUCUCAUGAAAAAAAAGAAAAGAGAAACACAGGUAUAAAAGAAUAUUAUUUUUUAUAGUUGCAAACAUUAUGAAUUCCAAAAAGAAAAACUACAGAUAACACUUCAAUCACAGAUCUAAGCAUCUAAAACGUGGCAACCCAGAUACCAUUCAAGACAUUGCUCAGCAUCAUGGAUAAACUAACCUAUCUGUGUCCCUGUGCUCACUGCAUGUCAUAUACACCCGACCAACUGGGCAUAGGAGCAUAAUGAGGAAAACUUUCAGCACCAUUUUGUACCUGAAAAAUGAGGGAGGAACUAAUUAAAGCGUUCCUCACUUAGAAUAAAUAAUGCAUGCAUAAUAGCCAAAUGGACAUUGCGCAUAUAAAUUGUUGUGGCAAUAACUUGCAAUAGAAAACGUAGUUAAAAAUAAGAUAUACGAAAUACCAACAUUGCAAUGGUAUUUUUUUUUUCCAUUCGAUUGUACUGAAGCAUGCAUCUUAAAUUAGGUACUACGUGAGGUCUCUAUAAUGAAAUGGGAGAUUGAAUACACUUGACGAAACUGAAAAUUCAAAUAUGCACACGCUCCAUAGUGUAUCUUCACAACCAAAAGAAACGUUUAUAUAUACGACAUAUGUUUGACAUUGUUUUUCCCCACUCAAAUCGUCUUGAGAAAAUUUGACUACUAAAAACUACAAAACUUUGAUUAAAGAAUCAAAUAGAAUAGCAUGAGAAAGUUAUUAUUACACCAUACCUGACUUUUUUGCAUAUAAAAACACCUGUAUUUCACCUGAUUUUGUAAUGAAAUACAGAUGCUUGUAGUUCACCAGUACAUAGCUGCCUGUCAUUUGUUGUCUUCUUCGGGUUCAAGAUCCUUAUAUUGUCUGAGACGUGAAAGAAUCAGAAAUUGUAUACAGUUUGAUAAUGAAACAUGUAAUGUGAUUAUGUGACAACAAUGCACUCCUCUCUCUCAGAGAGAUAAACAAAGAUAUCAAAAACAGAGAGGCAAUGUUAAGAUAAACAGAAAGGCAAUGUCACAUUGUUUUGCAUGAUCUUGAAAAUUGGGGAUAAGGUAUUCAAAGUGCUAACAAACACGUGCAAAUGGGGAUAAAAAAGGGGAUAAAUUGAAAAAUAUAUAUGCUCUUAAUCGAGAACUUCAUCAAAUAAACAAUAAAAUCUAAUGUAAUCUGUCCAAAACCAAAGAGAGUGAUAAUUUGGAGGCACUAUAAUGUCUUGGGCAUCGCAUACUUGCGGUAUAUGAUUGAUGCAUCUGUUGCUCAAUCAAAUCAUUUGCUUGGCUAAAAAAGUUAUUUUUACAAUAAAUAGAUUCGCAUCCAAUUUAUGAGAAAUCAUGCAAAAGUAAAUGUAAAUGAUAACGGAAUCAUGAAUGCGAAUAAGAAACACAUACAUGCCAAAAAGAAAACCUACUAUAGUGUGUCAAGUUACUUGCAACAUAAUUUUUUAUGCCAUUAUCCAUUUCGCAAUACUUUAAAAAAAUUUCGUUUGAAAAAGCUUUGCUAUGAUUUUUAGGUUUGGGAAAAAUAAUACCAUAAAAAUUAAAAAACAAUUACUAAAAAUCAUGGCCUGUUAAUAGCAAAAUACACUCCUCAACAAUGUAUAUGAACAUGUGAGUUGAAAAUUUGAAAUAUUCAACAACUAAAAGAAAGAAGCAAAAUCAGAAGAAAAGAAAGAGAUACUCACUCAAAAAUAAAGAUGUAAUAAUGCCAGGCUUCUUCUCCUCGGCAUCCAGAAUUCCAUUGUUGUCUCCAUCUUCAACCUUCAAUGUAUUUAAAAUAUGAAAUGGAAAAAACCCAGAAGAAAUCAUUACAUAAAAUAAAAUUAUCCAAGUAAAAUUAAAGGAUGGAUAGAAAAGAAAUGAAGGCAGUUUAUUCGGACUUAAUUAGAGACUUACUGAAUAAGCUUGAAAUCUAUCUCACACAUCUCUUAAACUUCAACCCCUAUCCUCCUUGCCUCUGUAAUAUGCACACAUAUAGAAAAAGAAAUCGACUUUAGAACCUACAUUGAUACAUAUCUUGUGUGAGUAGGUCUUUCCUGCUUUUCCCCAAUCAUGCAUAUCAAAGAAACGAAAAAGAAGGAAAUCACCCAUAUAUAUAAUACCUUAAGUUUAAAUGCAUCCCAAUUUUGGGUUCCAACGUCACAGAAAGAAUGUCUUAUACAUAAUUUAACAGUACCCCCGACAUCGGUCCAUCCAUUCGUAUUAAUAGUUAUUGUCUGCACAAACCUCAAUUACCUUACAAUCUAUCAUUAUUGACAUAAAGUUCAUACAAUAUGGGACAUCAUGACCUCUCUUUGGCCAGCACCAGUUUUUCCAAAAUGAAAUCAACUAUUACUGCAUUAAUUAUGGGUCCAUCUGGCCAAUUCAUUGAAUUCGCAGACCCAAAAAUUUCACCAAUUAACUGAAUUUACAUACAAAUGGGAGAAGUACAAAAACAAAGACAAUGGCAUAAAUUAUACCAUAAAAAUUACACUACGAAAAAUUUAGAGACCAAAAUCCUUGUUAACAGAAUUUAUUCACAUUAAAAGACACAAUUUCGGUUCAAAAAACUAUCAAAUUUAAACUUUGAUAUCAUAUGAUAAAAUCUUAAUUAAACUCACAAUCUCAAGAAGUUGAAACCAUGUUAAGUAAAAGAAACAAAUUGAAAAAAAUUAAGAUGUAAAUAUUGAUAAGAACAACAAAAGUGGCAAAUACAUUAUACACAGAUAGGACCCUGAAAUAUCGGAACCAGCAGCAACAAAUAGAAUUAAGAAGAAAAAGGAUUAGCAGACUUAAUAAAUGAGAAAUAGGAUAACAGGUACGAACUCAGUUUUUCCACUAUGAAUAAGAGAUCCAGUGGCAUAACCUAACAUUAGGUAGAAUCAAUGCUGGUUGAUUGAAUUUUCAUUCCCUGAAAAUUCAGAAAAUGAUGUGUUUUGAUCUGCAGAUAGAAGCAUUCUAUAUAUAUAAAAAAAAAAUAUAUGGAGACAUGAUGAGGUUCAGAAACCAAACCAUGUCGGUAAAAUCCUCUUGGCAGGUUGCUCAAGGUUGACCUCCUAGCCCUUGGACCAGUCAGGAGACUUGGCCUCCUGCUUUCAAGUUUGGAAGGGAAGUAAAAGGUUCAGCCAAUAAGUAAAAGAAUUGAUUCAGAGGAUAGAAUCAAAAUUUCAAAAAUAUUAUUUGAUGCGAUUAAAACUGUUCCCAAUGAUAAAAUGAAUAAAAAAAUCCAUUGGAAUAAAAGAAAAAGAAUGAUUAAAAUUAUUCACAACCCUUGCUGUUUUUACCUAACCAUUUGUAGGAUCCAUAAAGGGCCAAAAAAAGUUUUUUACUUCUCCUCUAGUCCCAUAAAUUUGGAUUCCAUCUCGUCCAAGCAAACUAACAAUCAUUACUAUACUUUGUUUUAGCAUGCGAACACAAAUCUCAAAAAAAAUAGAUAAUUCAUUUACAAAUUUAAAUUCAAUUUUUAUAUCUCGAUAUUUGUUUGUUAAACUCAAUGAUCAAACUUCAGACUCAUGCCUUCCAAAAAGAAAAGAAAACGAAGAAGAAUUGAAAGCACUUCCCAUUCCAAGGAAAGAGCAGCCAUAAUUAGGAUCCAAAACUCAUUCUUUAGUCUCCUCAUCUGAAGCUAUAUAUAAUCAUUGAACAAAAACGUUUAACGUCCAGCAGAAAGCAAACUGCAAUCAAAAUUUCAAAAAAGCAAAAUAAUGCGCAGAUAAUCGACAGCUGCAACAAACAAAAAAUAGAAAAAUCAAAUGCAGAUUGAAGGAAAAAUCGAGACCGCAAUCGAAACUCAUGCUUGUAUGGGUAAUUAAUUGUAGAUACCAAAUCAUCAAAAACCACUUGUCUACACCAAAUUGCAUACAAAAGAUAUUGGGGCAACUCAGAUUGUGCAAUGAAAAACAAAGUCAAACUACGACGUAGAUGUCUAUCGGAAUUUCAUUCAAAGAAUGAUUAAAUAAAGACAAUGGCAUGCCAAAGAUUAAAUACCCUAAGCGACAGUGUCAGCCAUGAGCUUCCCUCUGUGAGAGCACAGGGGUGUAACUGCAAAAGAAAGCCGGAGACUGAGGGCAAACUGUAAUUUCGUCAAAAAGGAGGAAGUGUACAAAAGAGAAGUGACAGCAAUAAGCGUAGACGCCAAGGACAAAGUAAAUAUGUAUUUGUGAAUGGGGUUAAGCUGCUGCUAGCUUUGUAUAGUGUAAUAAUGCAAUUGCAAAUAGACCAAGUUACUGCUACUAAAAGCUUUUGCAAAAUCAUAAAACUCUUAACAGUUUGAACCCUACCGAAAAGUUUAUAUGAGUUAAAGAACAGUCGUACUUAAGUGCAGCAAGAUCAUAAGCUCUUGCAGCUUCUCCUCCAUAUCAGAACCACCUGCAGUCCAAAUUAACCAAGAUUCAAGGCCAAAGCAAGAACAAAUUAGUGAUAAUUUAAACUAAAGUCCCUAAUUAUUGUUGCAGAGAGAAUUCAUAUCAAGAUUAACGACAUUAUUUGAUUCGAAUGGAAUCCAAACGCAGCAUAAACAUGAAAGGUAAAAAAUUAAUACCAAAAGUCACAUUUAAGCAGCAAUUAAUAGCAUAAAUCAGAUUUUAGUGGCAUGGACCAAAAUAAUUCAGUAAAAAAGAAACAAUCCCAAACAAAUAGAAAGAACUGGAGAAACAAUUCGAAACAAAUCUUCGGAAAGCAACCCCAUCCCUCCCUCACCCUCUCUCUCUCCAAUUCCAACUUCUCCCUACAUCUCUCUGUCUAUAAUAGAUGUGCAGUUUUAUUAAUCUUUGUUGCCGAAGCGUGCAAGAUAGUGAAAAGAUUGUUUAUCUAAGAAAAAAAAGGGCACAUUUUAGAUGGAGACAGAUGGCAUUUAACAAAUUCUUCAUUAGUGGAGUAAAUAAUUUGCAACCACCUAUUUCCUGGUAGCAUUAAAAAAAAAAUUCAAUUUUAAAAAAGAAAUGUACUUUUUAGUUCAAUUUCCACAGCCAUAGUAAUUUAUGUGGACUAAAAUUAAGAUUAACUAAUACAUCCAAUCAACUGCAACUAAACAACUUAUAGUAAUUGAAUCUGUGUUUGUGGAUGUGAGAGAGAGAGAGAGAGAGUUAUCUAUUAUAAAGCCAACCUUCUUUGAAUUGGUCCUCUUAUGGCUUAUUACCAAAACUCUCCAUUGCAUUUGCAGUAAUGCCCUCUGCUUCUCCUCCUGCGAAUUAUCAUUCUGUAAGUAAAAGGUACAAAAACAUCAAUUACUUAAUGGUAGAUAUGUACUUUAGACUUUUGAAGAUCCAAUUCAUCCUGCAUCUUCUCACACUCAUCUUCAUGCUGAAGCUGCAAACCUGUCAGCUCAGCUUCAAGUUCGCUCCUCAUUGAAGUUAUUUUCUAUGAAAAUGAUAAACUGGUUUGUAACGUAAGCAUAUAACACUCUAGUUAAAUUAGUAGUUCCAACUUAAUUCAAAGCUAAAAACGACAUUAAUGACCACAAUUUAAGAAUCCAGAAACAGCCCAAACUAACAACACACACAGAGGACAGACACUGAAAGACAUAUUUUUUUAGAGAACCUAACUAAAAAUUAAAAACAAACCAAGUAAAAUUUUCAGAGUUUAAAAACAGGAAACCAUUACAAUCUUUACAGAAACCAACUAAAAUUGGAAUCUGAAAAAAAAUCCGCUCAAUUUUAACAGCCCUGCUGCAUAUAUUGGGUUUUUUUAGGCAUGAGACAACACAAACGAAGAAAACAUAACAUAGUUGUAAACCUUAGGCUCCAAUCAGGUCAAGUGUGAGAUUUCAAACACGGAGAUUUACUCCAUGUUUAAAAACUGCCAAAUACAUUGCCAACUGUUAAGAGUAUGAACUACAAAUCUAUAAAGUAAAAAGACUUGCAGAUAAGUUUAAACAAUCAACAUUCAACUUAUGAUUGUUACUGUUUUUUAGCUGGAUGUUCACAUUCUAAUAAGGUAUUAAAAGAGAUUAUAAGCGUGUGUGCUCUUAAACCACCCAACACCAUGUAUUAAUCAAAUAAUUAACAUCUAAAGAUGGAGACAUGAAACACGAAACCUGCAAUUAGAUCCCAAUCACAAAAUGCCAAAAAAAUCCUAAUCUAACCAUCCCUAUACUAAUAGCCCAUUCGAGCAGCUAUUAGCACCUAACCCGCUACUUUGGCAACCCACCAACCCGCCACACCGUCAUGUCCCAUCCCCUCUCCACCACUCACUAUAUCUCUCACCUUUCUUUCUUGACAUUUCGCUCGGUGCACACAAACACCAAGCCAACCAUUGCCGGCCUUUGUCUAAAAGUGGACAAAAUCCCAUAGGUCCUGGCAGAGGACCUAGCUAAAUCUCUCUCCCACUCAGUCGAAACCCGUAGCUACCAUUUCUCUCCAAUCUGUCAGUCUCUCUGUCCCCCUCUUCUCCUCCCCCCAACAACCCUCUGACCGAUGCAUCACCCACAGCCACACCCACCCGCACCCGAGUCAAAAAUCCCAACGAUCCUCUCCCUCCAACCCGUCAACAAAUUAUGGAUUCCGAGAAUGUAUCUUGAAAACUCAGAUGCACAUGAUUAAAAUUAGUAGAUAUUAAGGACGUGUACUUAACAGAACAACACGAAGAACGAAUGAGUACAUUACAAACUAAAUGACCGUGUCAGCUAGAUACUUCUUAAAGAACACCUCUAAUCUACCAGUAUGAUUACUCAGUUUUUGGUUUUUAAAUUAAUACCCUAAACCUUACAUUCAAACUCAUUUCGAAUGCAAACAAAAGUAAAUGAUAAGUCCCGAGCUUUUCUUUCUAGCCUCAACUCAACUCAAGUUCCCAACCUUCACCUUCCAAUACAAAGAAACUAACGCAUCAAUCUGCAAUUUCGCAAACAUAUAAUUCAACUAACCAAGUUCUGUGUCCACUCAAAUGCACAUAUUUGAGCUCAAUCAAACUUAAAUUUGAAACAAAUAGUGAUGAAAGAUCAAACAUUUAUACCUAGCUUAGGAUCCGAACCAAUCUCCUCUUUCGCCUCCCUCGUCGCCGUGUCCCCAUCGUCCUUGUCCCCCUCCUCUGUUUUCCCACCCGGCAAAGAAACUUCACCUGCAGAAACACAAAACCAAAAAUUAAAAAACCAAUCUUUCCCAUUUCCAUUUUUAUCAAUUUCCUCAAUUUUUCCCAUUUCCAGAAAAAUGAGCAAGAAGCUUAAGCAGGAAAAAAAUCAUAAUUUCAACAACCAAAACCCAAUACCCGUUUAAUCAUACACGAACGAAAAAUCUAAACACAGAGUCACAGAUUAACGAACUGAAAACCCAAAAAAAAUAAAGGAAACUGACCUUACUUAAGAACAAUACAUAGAACACAGAGAAACGAAACAAAUAAAGGAACCCCCAAAACCAAAUAAAGGAACCCUCAAAACCUGACCUAACAGUGCAACAAAAUCUGGAAAUAAUUCACAGCAAAAAGGCAGAAAUGAUGACAAUCUAUGCUAACAGUAAAGAAUCGAAUUAAAAAUUGAACUUAGCUUUUGAAAUCCAGCCACUCAUCCGACAUGCAAAAGGGAACGGAUGAUCGAGAGUGAAUCAUGGACUGAGGGACCUUACUCGACCCAUCAUUGGAGCUACGUUUGUAGCUUUUGGGGAGAAAAAAAUUGAAUGUGAAAGCUGCUUUUGAUGUGGCCAUUAAGGUGGUGCUUCAGCAACCGAAGCAAAAGAAGAAGAGGCAGAAAAAUGUGAGUAUUCCAUGAAGAAAAAAAAAAGGUUAAAAAAUCACUAAAAAGAAAAGGCAGAAAAAUGCAGGGUAUUCCAUGAAGAAAAAUUCAACAAUUAAAUAAUAUAGCUGUAAACCUUAGACUCCAAUCAGGUCAAGUGUGAGAUUUCAAACACAGAGAUUUACUUCAUGUUAAAAAACUGCUAAAUACAUUGCUAACUGUUAAGAGCAUGAACUAUCUGUAAAGUAAAAAGCCUUGCAGAUAAGUUUAAACGAUCAACUGUCAACUUAUUAUUGUUGCUGGUUUUGAGGUGGACGUUCGUAUUCUAACAUGGUAUUAAAAGAGAUUAUAAGUGUGUGCGCUCUUAAAUCAGCCAACACCAUGUAUUAAUCAAAUAAUUUAUAUCUAAAGAUUGAGACAUACAACAUGAAACCUGCAAUUAGAUCCCAAUCACAAAAUGCAAUAAAAAAAUUCCUAAUCUAACCAUCCAUAUACUAACAACCUAUUCGAGCAGCUAUUAGCACAAUUUACCUCCCUCUCUAUUCUUCCCCACCCCCUCUUUAACCAAAUAAAAACUCAUUUGUCUCACUAAAUAAAAACCUCAAAUUUGUUUUUUCAAAGCUGCAACAACAUCACUAAAAACACCAUGUAAUAAAAAUUUAAAAAAACCAAUCCAAUUUAAGUCGAGAAGCAAAUGACCAAACCUCCUAUUUUGAGGAAACAUUUUGCAUUCAAACCUAAAAUGCUUGCCUGCAAAGAAGGAUUAAAUAGCAAAGCAGACUUUCGGGGGAAAUAAAAAAAACAGACUAUUUAUAAUACAAUAAAAAUAAAGUAAUUCAUCAUCCCCACCAUCUCUGUGAGCUUUAACAGAACAGAGGAAUCAAAUUAAGCAAUAUAUAAAUUUAAGUUGACAUUCCAGUGUUCUACCUCUAACCUUGGUAGCAUGCAUGCACUGUAAGUUAUAAAGUGAAUUAAGCCAAGAUCUUCUAACUUCAUGAUUUUCACAUAUGCAUUAGAUGGAGAAAUACAAUAAAUAAUCAAAUAUGUAAGACUCUGAUAUUCAAAACCAAACAAACCCAAUUACACUUUUAGUUCACUAACCCCAUUGAAUAAAAUCCAAUUCAAUAAAAUAACAGAAAAUUAAACAACCCAAAAAUCAAAACAACCCCACUUGUAGUUUUAGCUCACUAAUCCGUUGGAUAAAUAGAUGCCAAAUUCAAUCAGAAAACAUACAAUUAACAACAACCCAGAAGAGCCAUCCGAAAACCCAACCAAUUAACCAAAAAAUACCACUUGUUCUUUUAGCUUAGUAACCAACCUCUACUUGUUUUCUGGCAAAUUUGGGGUCCUUUGAUUUCUAGACUUUCAGUAGAAACUGAUUAUACCAUGGGCUAAUAUUCAAGUACCACAAAAUAUAAUUUUACCGUAGUAAGCUUUUUGAUUCACUCCAAACGAAGAUAUUAUAUGUUCACAUAUAUAUAUUCACAACCAUAAAAAGAAGAACUUAUCUCUGGCAUUUUAAUAAAAAUAAAAAUAAAUUAUUCACCCACAGUAAAAACCGAAACAGCUAAAUUAAACCCAAAAAUUAAUCAUGAUCAUACAUAUGUAUUCCUGACAAAUGUUUAGCCCUUUAAUUAAAACACUAAAAUAAAAAAUUGCUCACCCACAGUAAAAAACCGAAACAUGCAAACCAAAGCCCAAAAUUUAAUCAUCACUAUUACUUUUUUUUUUUUUGGUGUUUUUAAGUUUCAGGGAAAAAUGGAAGCACAAACAAUCAAAAAACCCAAACAAAAAGAAAUUAACACCAAAGAGAUAAAUUAUAUACCUGACCCAGAAAAAGCUUGGAAGCUCACAUAAUGAAACCCUAAAACUCGAAGAAGGAUGCUUCCUGCAAACCAAAUACAAAAUCAGACUCUCUCUCUUAGAAAGAGAGAAGUUAUCAAGUCCUGUACUUGGUUAUAUUUGUUCAAGUUAGGAAAAAUCGAGUACAGGGUUGGUACCUGGAGCUUGAGAAAUCAGAGAGCUUGCCUGUUUGAGAAAAGAUGAUAACAACAGCUUCAGAUUCACACAGAAAACGUACAAAAAACGCACAACAUGCUCUCUGCCCUCUCUCUCUCUCCCUCCCUGUCCAUCCGUCCCUCAAAAAGUGGGAAAAAAAAUCUCCAAACGUCUCUCCCACUCAUGAAAUCGAGGAUCUGCAGCAAUGGCGCUGAGGUCGCCACUCCUCCCUCUCCCUUUCUCUGUCGCUCUGUCUCUGUCUCUGUCUCUGUCUCUGUCUCUCUCUAUCGAAGGCAUGGCCUUUCAUCCCCGAAACCCUCACUGAAUGACAGCAAACCCAAACCCACCCCAAUCCGUCUCAAACACACAGGACAAAAUUGCCCUUCCAACCCAGCCCCAAUACCAGCCCAAACCUUACGGUUUUGUUGUAAAUAGCGUGAAAUCGAGUGGCUCCCUGAUAAGCCAUAUGGACAAAAUUACCCUCUGAAAUUUUGAGAAUCACCCUCCCAACCCACUCCCAUUCGGCUGGUACUGUUGUAAAUAAAGCAAAAUAAAAACAAACGUGAAUAGUGCCUGCCCUCCCCCUACUUUAGUAUAGAUAAUUUUGCACAUUGCAUAUAUGUAGAUUAAGGACGGUGGUAACAUACCUUGUAAUUUGUACAAAUUAGGAUUUUCAUUCAAAGAACUAUAAUAUACACAAUUACAAAAAAAGUGAUUCAAACUUGUUCUUCUCUUAAGGAAAUUACUCACAGUUGAAAUUCUGAAUGGAUGAAGUUUUGGCUUCCCUUUCCGACUAUAUUUGAUUAACCUUUUUUUAAUCCAAUGAGUGCCUUCAUGAGAGAGAGAGAGAGAGGAAUAUUAGGUGAAAAGUAUUGCCAAAUCACACAGAGAUCAAAAUCUUGAAUAUAUAUGUUUAACCAUGUCAAAGUGAGUGUGUAAAGGGUGUAGUCUGCAGAAAGGGCAACAUUUUCACUGCUAGAAAGUUGGAAACUAAACUUUUACACAGAUAUUGGAUUUUAUUAAUUCCCUUCGCGAAUUGAAAAGCAAAUUGUUCGAGUAAUGCAGGUAAAUUCGAUAUACAUAUGCGUUGAUCUAUGUGACGGUUAUAAGUUAUAACUGUAUUGUCUUAACGCAAAAAUGAUCAUAAAUGUAAGUGUCUGUAUUAUGGAAGUAAGGGACUUACAGCAAUUGCUAUGAGCUUUAACAGCAGUCACUCCAAGUACCUUAUUACGGAAGUAAGGGACUUACAUCAAUUGCUAUGAGCUCUACCAGCAGUCUCUCAAAGUGGUGCAAGGGCUAAAAUUAUAAAUAAAAAGUAAUUUAAACAAUUUAACUUAAUAAAAUAUUGUAAUUUAAACAAUGCCUAUAUAUUCAAACAUCCCAAAACAGGAAUGAACUUCUAGAAAACAUGCGCAUGAAAAUAAACGGCAUUACUCACCCAUUGAGUUGGACCAUCAAACUGGAGCGUAAGAAGGAUCAUCAUGUACCUAUGAAACCCAAAGGAAAAUUUUAGCAACCCCAAAGCUUGUAUGCAAGCGUGAAUAAGUAUGCGUGUAUGAAUCUAUUCAUAGUGAAGAAGGCUACCUUAAGAAAUAUUUGCAUCUGCAGCUUCAUAUGGCCAUACAACAAAAAGCAUCGCAUAUGAUAACAAACCCCAGCUGCACCACAAAAGGAAUAUGAUCUUCCUCUCGACUUGUAUUUGCAGUUGUUACUGUAACAUCUGCAGACAGCAUACAUAAGCACUGAUUCGAUAAUUCUAAAGGAAAAAAAGUUCUUAUUCGAUAAUGCACCAAAUCCUAUCCAAAAACCAAGGGGGUGCCAUAUCCCUAGAUUAACAGAGCAUCUUUCUUUGUUCCAAAACAAAUUGCAAUUGGCUUUGGUAAAGUAGAAAGAUUACCAGAUACCGACUCUGUUCCAUUAUUCGACUGUCCUUUUAGUUCUAUCUCUCAACAUGGGAAAUACAAUAAGACAGUAAAGACAAAAGUUAGUGAUGCUAUUACAUAGUGAAAGAAAAUAAGACAUUCACAUAUUGAUAGCUAUUUACUGUCCUUUCUCAUCAUAAUCUUGGCCCCAAUAUAUAUACUGAAUUUUGAAUGCAAUGAGAGAAAUAUACCUUUGGGGCGUCAAUGCCAGAAGAGUGAGUGAGGGAUCUAAGAUGUUUGAGAGCAGGAAUUUUUAAGUAAUUUGUGUGAAAAAGUUGAAGAGCUUCGAACAGAGUGGAGUGGGUUGGCCUGGGCUAAAAUAAAGAGGAUGAACUCUAGAAAGUAGAAAAUGUUGUUAUUCAACCAAACUCAAAAGUAAAGAAACCAUACAAUUAACAUAUAAAUAAGUUUUAUAUACCAAUGUUUACAUGUACGUUGUUUGAGAAGGUAAAUUAGCAACAUAUACAGUGAUCAAAAGAUUAACAGCAAUAAACUGCUCAUUAUUCGAAAUAUACAUGAAAGUUGUCAUUCACAUGAUCCAAAUGGUAGAGGACAAAACAGAAGGAAGCAAAUAUUAUAGCAGCAUAAGUUGAAUAAUUGCAGCAAGUAAACAAAUAGAAAGGCUAGCUAGAUUACACAAUCCAGUUCUAGGUCGGACUAACCAUGUUAGCCAUCCGCCCACCACCAGCACCGUCGGCUUCUUAUUAAAAAUGUAGAAUAGAAGACUCAAAAACUGGAAAUGAAAGCAGGUAACAUUGAGUUUUAAUAACCAAAAAGGGACAUUGUUUAAGCAGCUCCAUAGCAGCAAUUAUACUUGGACGAUGAGCUGCAAAAACAGAAAAGAAAACACAAAUUAAACUAAAAAAAAUAUAAAAUUUAGCACUAAUCCAGGAUUAAAUAUAAAAUAUAAAGUCAUUAGGAUUGGGACCUUUGCAUUGAGGAAUAUCUACUACAUUAUGAGUUCCCUCCUGACAGUGGCGGAUCCAGGAUUUUAAACUCGGGGGGUCUCAAUAAUAAAGGUCAAAAAAUUUAUACACAAAAACAACAUUGAAAAUUUAAAUAUAAUACAUUUCAUUCAAAAAUCAUAUGCAAAACAAUAUUACAAAUUAUAAAAUCAUAAUUCAAGCGUCCAUUACAAGGUUUCAUAAGUUACUACCUAAGUUAUUGAUUAUCUAAUAUGGACCACUAAAUUUAAAACACCAGUCAAAUAAAACUCUUCCCAAACUCCCACUAUCUUUCUAACCAAACACACCAUUUUUCUCUUUUACUAGUUUCCAAACAUCCACUUUCUCUCUCACUAAGAACACAGCUGCCAUACCUCCACCAACCACCUCCCUCCCCAUUCUCCCGAAGCCAUGGCAGCUCCACCCCCAAAUUUCACCAACCCAUGACAGAUCAUAUCCAUCUUACUAACCUUAUGCAGGAAAUUUCACCCAUAACAAAAAUUACUAAGGUGGUUGAAAUAAUUUGGGGAAAUUUGGGCUUAUGUACUGCCCCGCCAGACGACAGAUGGAGGAGAAGUGGGUGGCACCGAUGGAUGAGACCAUGGCAGAAGCAAGGAGAGAGGCUGGAAGGGUCCCUAUUUUCUUUCUUCUCCGUGCGCGGUCAUCUUCUCCGAGAAGAAGACAGCCACUGCAACCUACAACCUGCACAGACCUCAUGCUCGAGUACGAGGGGUCCCCGGAAAAUUUCUAGCAGCGAUUUAGGAUCGCCGACGGGUCCUGGGACCUCCCAGGUCCCUAUGUAUGCAGGAAAACCUAAGGUUCCUCCUUAGGUUUUUCGAUGUACCAAACCCGAAUCCGCCGUCCUUUUUCCAAAAUUCUAACGUUUUCAUAGAGUUUUAUUAAACGACCUUUAAUUGUGUUUAGGUGCAUCGGUGGAAGUGACCUCAUUCUUGAUGGUUCGAGCGGCUUUCGGGCAAUGGAAAACUUGUGAGUGGACCCCUUCUAAACUUAUAUAUUGUUAUAAAAUAUUAGCCUAGCAUGCAUUCCAUAUUUCAUGAUUUGAAUAUGAUUUAUAAUAUGCUUUAUGGACUUUUAUAAUUAUGGUUUACGAAAUAGUUUGAUUUAUCGAAAUUACGUUUUAUUAGGUAUUGAAUUAUUGGAUUUACAUAUAUGGAUUUCUAUGGUUUUCAAAUACGAUUUAUAUUACGGUUUUACGAACAUGAAUUGUUUUAUGGAUUUCAUGAAUACAAUUUAUCUUGGAUUUAUGAGAUGAGACUUUGAGCUAGUGAGCUCCGGGUUUGAUAUGAGUUUUGAGAUAUGUUUUUGGUACUUAAUCUAGUGGGUUAUCAUACGGCACAUCCGCACACCACGGGUAUAGAUGUGUAUGGCCAUAGGACACAGAUGAUGAGGAGGAGUAAGAUAUGAUAUAUUGUAUACCCCCAGUUCACUGUCGAAAGCAGUGUCAGAUAACUUCACUAGCCAUGGCUAGUGUCGGUAUGGAUGUUAUGCUAUUUCAUACAGCUUCACCUUCGGGUGAUAGACAGUUAUUUAGCUUCACCUUCGGGGUGAUGGACAUGUACUACCUUCGGCCAACUAUAAUAGCCUUAGUUGAGUACUUCACUGACAAGAUUUACAAAUUUGCCUUUGGGCGACGACAUUUUCAUUAUCAAGCACUGGAUUUUACAUAUCUACCUUCUAAAUGGAUUUUCAUGGCAUGCUAGGGUUUUUCAUAAAGCCUAUAUGUAGUAUUAUAUAUGUUUUCAAAAUAAGGGGUUAUUAUGUUCAUAAAUAAAAUGUUUUCCUAUUAUUAGUAUUAUUAAUAUAAACUUUGGUCCACUCACCUUUUCAGUUUUUGCGCCUCCUCAGGAGUUAGGAUCGAGGCACAUGAUCCCGGCAUCAUGGCAUGUUGAUAUAGGUAUCCUUGAAUCUUCUUAGUGUAGGUAUCAUUCCCUUAUUCAUAUCUUUUUAUAGUGAUUCUUUCCUAUUAUUUCUAAUUAGUUGUAUGCUCUGAACAAAUUCCUGCUUUGGUAUAAUCGUUAUAACUACUUAUCUUGUAAUUGUUUGCAUGUUUAAAAUGGUUUCGUCACCUUUGGGCGUGGGCUAGCACGUGCCUACCCUGGUAUGUUGGGGUAUCGGGGUUGGGGCGUGUCAAAGAUAGAGAGUGAAUUUCUAGCAGAUUCAAUGGUUGUCUACAUUUUAAAAAGAGCUUGCCGAAAAGAUUGAUUCAGAUGAAAUAACAAAGGAUUUCAAUUCCAUUAAGGAUUGAAGGGCACAACUUGAAUAGGUAUUUUUCUUUUUAUUUGUUAGGUUGUUAUGACAAGAUUGACGAUGUAUGUUUCUUUAUAUUGUAAGUUGCAACUUUAAAGGUUUUCUUCGUUAAAUCUAGUUGAAACUUGAUUCAUUUAGAGUUAAAUUUCUUACUUCAAAUUGUUGCUUUUAGGCUUAUUAUUGUGUAACUUUAUGCAAGCAACAAAAAAUUUUAACCAUUUGAUUUUGUACUAAUAAUUUUAGCUUAGCAUGCCACCAAAUAAUUCAUGUCUCCGCUAUUGAAAUCUUAGCAUGUGCAAUUUCAAAGUCUCGGUUGCCAAGUCUCCCCAGGCUGUUCAGCACCCAUUCUGAAUCUUGAUCGAGAUCUAGAGCAGUGCAAGUCAAGGAGUCUUCAUUCUCAUUUGAAACAAUGCUAAAAUUAUACCUCAGCUUGGACUCCUUGGGCAAAAUAUACCCAAAUGUAUUAAUAAUUUAAUACUACUUGUGGAUGCACCACUAGUCCAAAAAAAUCACCUCUCCUUUCUUAAUCUUCAAUUGGUGAGGGUCCCAAUCAAGCGUGAAAGGCCCCGGCGCACGGUUGGCUUUAGUUUCCCAUGAUGAAAUCGACGAAACGUGGCCAUUUGUACGGUUGACACCCAAUUUCAUGCCCGGCAAAAAGGUGUCAACUGGUAAUCAAAGCUUUACGUUCACUUCUUCUUGUACAAAAUUUCCCGAAUCCAAAAGGAUAGCCACAACAGUAGCAAUACUGUUACUUAUGUUGGUAGACCUAGUAGUUUGUGGAGCUGAGAAAAACACAAUUGGAUUAGGAUCCCUCCCGCAUAAUUUUCAAGGUUUUAUUCCUGUCCAAGGCAAGAGUGCGUACAAAAUAGGGGCUUUACGGUUGCAAAUCCAAGCAAUGUUGCCAUCGGCCUUGUUGCUCUGGAUAGAUACGUAGCUGGUGCUUUUGGAACUGUCGUCGUGUACACAGGAACUGAAACUGAACUUCUCCGAUGCAGAGACCAAAGAACUUGAGGAGUUGAGAGUGUCUCCUGCUGGUUUCAGUGUGUCCUUGCACUUGCAGCAUUGUGACAGGUCCACAGUCAGCAUGCAAAAAUGAUUAAGUUGAUUAUUGCCAUGAUUAAUUAAUGACCAUAACAUGAAGUUUAAUUUCUCCAUAUGAUGAGGAAGAAAGACAUGAAAUCCAUCACCAGAACAUGAUUAAGAAUUUAAUCAAGCAACGCGUCUUAGUUAAACCAUUACAAUCAUUGUACAAGGCAUUUAUAAAUUAAAAAAAAGGGAAUAAAGUAAUAAUUGUUAGAAUAAGAAGAAAAUGUAGUACAACAAUGGAGGAUAUGCUGCAAUGACUAGAGUGAGAGAGAGAGAAAGAAGAGAGCAGAGAAUAUGACACUGCAAUUCUUUUCACACGCAUUGUUUGAUUGCUCACUUAGUGAGAGAGGAACAUCUCUCUACACUUAACAGUUACACUUCCAAACUUUUGGCAGUAUUCAAAAUUACAUCCAAGUAAUCCUAGCCAUCCAUCUUACACCCUAUGAGAUGAAGACACAUGUACACUCACUUACUUAAGAACUAUGAGACUUAGAUAAGAAAGCAUACAACCAAUUUAGCUAAUCAUCCUAGCAAUAUAAGCUAGAAAUACAACUACCACAUCAGAUCACAAUUUACACACUAACAGCCCCCUUUAAAUUGUGAACUGAUUUAACUCCAAGAAGUUCCCUCAGAUAACUGAAUUGUUCUCUUGCCAAUGCCUUUGUAAAGAUAUCAGCAAUUUGGUCUUUCGUAGGACAAUGCAACAGCUCAAUUACUCCUUGCUGCAAUGCUUCCUUUAUGAAAUGGUAUCUCCUGUUGAUGUGCUUGGUCUUCUGAUGAAAAAUAGGAUUUUUAAUGAUAGCUAUGGCUGAAGUAUUAUCACAAUUCAUUGGUGUUGCAACUAUUUGCAUUUCACCAAAGUCCUCCAAAACAAAUCUCAGCCAUGUAGCCUGUGCAGUUGCUUCAGAUGCACUAAUGUACUCUACUUCAGCUGUUGAUAAUGCAACACAUUGUUGCUUGACUGAAGACCAAGAGAAAACUCCACUGCCAAAGGUAAAUGCAUACCCCGAUGUACUUUUCAUAUCAUCUUCUGAACCGCUCCAGUCACUGUCACAAAAUCCCAUUAAGAUUGCUCCUUUGCCUUUCUUGUAUUCCAAGCCAAAAUCAAGAGUCCCUUGAACAUAUCUUAGUACUCUCUUUGCUGUCCCAAGGUGCUUGUUGGUUGGACAGUGCAUAAACCGUGAUAGCAGACAUGCAACAUACAUUAUAUCAGGUCUAGUUGCUGUGAGAUACAGCAAACUGCCUACAAUUUGUCUAUAUUGAGCUUCAUCCGUAGUCCCACUUCCAUCCUCUUUUCUCAAUUUAUCACUUGGAACCAAUGGAGUACUCACUGACUUACAGUCUUGAAGUCCAAAUUUCUUCAGUAGAGAAGAAGCAUAUUUUCUCUGAUGAAUGAAAAUAUACUCCUCAGUUUGCAUUACUCCCAUACCAAGAAAGUGAUGUAAGAGUCCAAGAUCAGUCAUUUCAUAUUUGAGCAUCAUAUUAGAUUUAAAGUCAUCCAUCAAUUCCUGACAACUUCCAGUGUAUAUUAUGUCAUCAACAUAGAUAGACACUAUAAUCAUUUCUGAACUUUUCCUCCACUUGGUAUACAGAGUUGCUUCGCUAGUGCUUUUCUUAAACCCACAGAGUGUAAGAUAUGAGUCUAUUUCACCAUACCAGGCCCUUGGUGCCUGCUUCAGACCAUACAGUGCUUUAUGUAACCUGUAGACCUUAUCUUCUUCCCCUUGUACAAUAAAUCCAUCCGGCUGAUCAACAUACACUUCUUCUUCUAGUACACCAUUCAAGAAUGCCGAUUUUACAUCCAAUUGAAACAACUUCCAUUUGUUCUUUGCUGCCAGGGCAAUUAAUGUUCUGAUUGUAUCCAACCUUGCCACAGGUGCAAAGGUUUCAUUAUAAUCAAUUCCGGGCUUUUGUGCAUAGCCUUUUGCAACAAGCCUAGCCUUGUUCUUUUGAACUGAUCCAUCCAAAUUCAAUUUAGUUUUGUACACCCAUUUCACACCAAUCACAGGUUUAUCAGAUGGUCUUUUCACUAAUUCCCAAGUCUUAUUUUUCUCAAUCAUGCUGAUUUCAUCUUUCAUAGCUUUCUUCCAUGCUUUAUCCUGUGCAGCUUCAUAAUAGGAUUCUGGUUCAACAAUACACAUGACAUCUUUCAUAGAUUUCACUCAAACUUCUAUAUCUCAAAGGAGUAUGAUCAAUCUGAGAUGCAAAAAUUGAGUCACUAGCACUUCCAGAUUCAAUGAGUGGAGAAUCUGUAAGUUGAGUCUGAGAACCUUCAGCAACAGCUUGUUCCAUGGAAUCCGAAUCCUCAUCAGCUUCUUUCAUCUCUGAAGAUUCACUUGCAGCAAUUGGAAUGUACACUUCUUUGAUCUUCUAUCUAUCCCAAUCCUAUGUACCAUUCUCAUAAAAAAUAACAUCUCUUGAAAUGAUUACUUUCUGAUUUUCAGGAUUAAGCAAUCUGUACCCCUUUUCACAAGUGCCAUAUCCAAUAAAAAUACCAAUGACACUUGUUUCAUCCAGCUUCUGUCUCAGGUUUCCAGGAAUAAGGGAAUAACCUAAUGAGCCAAACACUCUCAAGUGUUGAAUUCCAGGUUUUCUUCCACUGAAUUUCUCAAAAGGUGUCACAUUUUCCAAUACUUUUGUAGGACAUCUAUUUAGCAAGUAGACAGAUGUAACUACAGCUUCACCCCAAAGACUAUAAGGAAGACCUUUCUCAUGAAGCAUACACUUUGCCAUCUCCACUAUAGUUCUAUUUUUUCUCUCUGCAACUCCAUUCUGUUGUGGAGAGUAUGCAACAGUAAGCUGCCACUCCAAACCCAAAGCUUCACAAAACUGUUCAAAUUCAUUUGAGGUAAAUUCUUCUCCUCUAUCUGUUCUCAAUUUCUUCACUGAAAAACCACUUUGAAGUUCCACCAUAGCUUUGAAUUUCUUGAAUACAUGAAAGACAUCUGACUUGUGUCUCAAGAGAUAUAUCCAGCACAUCCUCGAAUAGUCAUCAAUGAAUGUAACAAAGUAUCGAUUUCCACUUAUGGUUGGUGUUUGCAUAGGGCCACACACAUCUGAGUGUAUAAGUUCCAAUGGCAUUCUUGCUCUCCAGAUUGACUCCCUUGGAAAGGACACUCUAUGAUUCUUACCAAAUGCACAUCCCUGACAUACACCUUCACUGUCAUGCAUUUCAGGUAACCCAAGAACCAUAUCAUGCUCCUGCAAUUGUUGCAAACUUCUAAAAUUCAGGUGGCCAAACCGUUUAUGCCACAUUGUACUAUUCUGAUGCACAUUGGUUUUCAGUACCAAAUGAUCGUUUGACUUGAACACAAGUGGAAAGCAUCUGUUCCCCUUUUGUUUCACACUAACCACUAAAUUUGUCAGAGUUCUAUCAUAAAAAAUAUCCACCUUAUAAUCACCAAAUAACAGAAAAUACCCAUGUUCAGUCAUCUGCCCAACACUGAGAAGGUUUUCUGCAAUUCCAGGUACUAACAUAACUUCUCUUAUGUACCUUUUUCCUUUAUCCGUGUCAAUGACCAAGGUUCCUUUGCCUUUCACAUCAACAAGAACCCCUGUGCCAACUUGCACUUUUGCUUUAAUACUUCUAUCAAUUUCCACAAGUAACUCCUCUCUGGAAGUCAUGUGAUUACUGCACGCACUGUCAAUAUACCAGGCAUCACUCACAGCUUUCACUUCAGUUGAUUGCUUGACCAUGAAGAGAUUUCCAGGUUCCAGGUUCUCCCACCUUGUUUCUAAAAUUUCUUUGCUCUCCCACUUUGUCUGCAAAAUUCCCUUGCUGAGCAUUUUUGUUUUGAUUGCAGAUCCUAGCAAUAUGACCAGGUUUUCCACACUUGUGACAUUUAAUCUUCCCUUUUAGCCAACAUUCACCAUAGUGAAGUUUAUCACAGUAUUUGCAUGCCCCUCCAGUGUUGUUAGCUUCAUUUCUUACACUUGGAGUAAACCUGUUAGUCCACUGCUUCCCUUUGAACUUGAAGUUCUUCUGAUAUUUUGAUCCACCAGUAUUGGUAUGUUGAUUACCAAAUUUACUAUUCUUAGAUGAGAUAUAUAUCUAAGCUAGCAAAUGCACGUUCUGUGCUACUCUCUUCAUGUCUGAUUAAUCUUAGUUCAAACCCUUUCAAUAUGGCAACCACAUCUUGUGCAUCAAUUACAUCAAUAUCUUUAGUAUUUUCUAUAACAGAAGCAAUGCUAUCAUAUGUUUUGGGUAAACUGAUCAAUAACUUUUGCACAAUUCUCUGAUUACUAAGAUCUUCUCCAUAGCUUCGCAUCUGAUUUAUCAGAUCAAACAACCUAGCUAAAUAUGCAGCUAGAGAUUCACUUUCACUCAUACGGGUAUAUUCAAAAUCACGACGCAGACCUUGUAAUUUCACAGAUCGUACCUGUUUGUCCCUACACAUACUCUUGCUUCAGAAUAUCCCAAGCUUCUUUUGCAGUUUCCAAGGUUGCAAUGCGUGGAAAAAUUUGAUCCGAUACGGCUCCCUGAAUGAUUCCAAGAGCCCUUGCAUCCUUGACCAGAUUUUCACUCCGCAACUUCGUUUCCACCUCAGUGAGUUCUCCUUCCCCUUUCGCUGAAGUGGUAAAACCUUUUUCAACAAUAUUCCAUAACUCGUGAGAUCGGAAGAUUGUUUUCAUUCGAAUCUACCAGAAAUCGAAAUUUUCUCCGUUGAACACCGGAGCUCGAAGCUCCCCUCCACCAGAUCCAGCCAUGUUAGACUUAGAUCACACCUCUCUCUACUAUUUUCUUUGCAACGAUGUGUUGCAAACACUUGCUCACUAUCUCUCACAGAAUCGACGCCCAGAGAUUCAGACCCAACAAGGCUCUGAGGCCAUGUUAGAAUAAGAAGAAAAUGUAGUACAACAAUGGAGGAUAUGCUGCAAUGACUAGAGUGAGAGAGAGAGAAAGAAGAGAGCAGAGAAUAUGACACUGCAAUUCUUUUCACACGCACUGUUUGAUUGCUCACUUAGUGAAAGAGGAACAUCUCUCUACACUUAACAGUUACACUUCCAAACUUUUGGCAGUAUUCAAAAUUACAUCCAAGUAAUCCUAGCCAUCCAUCUUACACCCUAUGAGAUGAAGACACAUGUACACUCACUUACUUAAGAACUAAGAGACUUAGAUAAGAAAGCAUACAACCAAUUUAGCUAAUCAUCCUAGCAAUAUAAGCUAGAAAUACAACUACCACAUCAGAUCACAAUUUACACACUAACAAUAAUUACAAGUUUUACACAAGUGACCAUUUAUUACAAUGGUGGAAAGGUGUUAAAAGCUUUUGCAUGACGGUGUGAGUUCGAACCUCGUCGGUUGUUAAUCUACAAACCCCGUCGGUAGUUAAUCUAACUUCUAAUCUAAUAAAAUCUAUUUUUUGACCAAAAAAAAAUAAUUACAAGUUUUACUAAAAAUUUAGGGGUGUGAUAUCUACACACCCCUUUUUACUUCUCUCACAUCUUUUUGAUUUUCGACCGUCGGAUCGGAUGAAUUGAAGAAGAUCAACGGACAGAAAUUAAUAAGGAUGUGUGAGAAGUAAAAAAAGGUGUGUAGAUAGCACACCUCAAAAUUUACCGGAAGACUUGAUCACCCAUUUGUAUGCUGACAACGGUGACUAGAUUCACAACCUCUUUCCCACGUAAAUCACAUCAUCCAAUUUUAUUUUUCUUACAACAUAUCACGUAUCUGUCAUAUGUAAGACUUUUUUGGAAUAUGGAGCGUGAAAUUGCAGCGGAAGCAUCCUAGAUUUUUGAUCGAAUAUUGAGUUUGGUUUCAUGACAGACUUCCUGGAUCAAACACACCCUAAAAAAAUAUAUAAAAAACCAAUAAGGUCAUGGUGAUACGACAUCAUUUUAAGAGGAAAGGUAAAAACAAUCUAGUUUCUAUACUAGGAAGAUUCACUCGAACAAAUUCUUGGAAACUAUGACUCAAACAAAAUUCUAGGAAUUCAGUAUUUUUAACAAAUGAUAAACGUUUAAGAUAUAUUCUUUAUAAUAUUAGAGAAAUCGAACGGUUGAUCUAUAACUCGCAAAGUGGUUGUAGCUCAAGUAAUUUUACUCCCCAAUUUUACAUAAAACAUAAAAUAAAAACAAAUCCUAAUUUACAUGGUAAUUUUUUUUCAUAGCUAGGGACAACUUCGACUAUGGUAAUGCAAUUAAUAUACACUAGUUUUGGAUGGAGAAGUUUCAAGAUUGAGCAUGGGAUGGGGAGGGGCGAGAGACUUGGAUGGAGAGUGAGGUUUUAUGAGUUAAACAGUGAUGCAAGGAUGUAUUACUUAAAACUUUAGAGACCGUAUGUUGGGCUAUAUAUAAUUGUUUAACUCAUAAACGUUUUGAGUGUUUCUAACAUAUGCUUAUCAAAAGCCUUCUCGUUCUAUCAAACAAUACGAAAAUUUUCAAUUGAAUGCAAGACAUACUAUUUUAUAUAUCACAGUACUUCAUGGAUCAUCAUCAUCACAUAUCCUUAAUUCAAAGGUAAUAAAUGAGCAUCUAGUUUUAUUUUUAUUUUAUUUUAUAUAGGGACUACAGAAGCAAGCACCCUUUGUAAAUUAAACUCUAAAACUUCUCAAGUAUCUUGAAAGGUGCCAAAAGCCAUCAGCCAACUCCAGUUGAUGCAUAACCUCCUACAUUUACAAAAACAGCGUCGCCGUUAAUUUAUUGACUUCUUCCCAGGACACAUACCAAUUUGCGAAAGUGGUUUGACUGAUGCUAAUUAGUCGAGUAAAGUACAGUCUUUUCAAUUAAGCAGAUGCAAAACACUUAGUUGAGGCACUACAAAUAUGAUUUUUACCUUUAAUUAACGCGCUUCAAAAUCUGAACUGGACAUGUAGUUUGCUGAAGCAACAGUUUCAAGUUGCUGAUUCCCACUUAUACCAGCCUCCACCGUCCUCCUUCCAACAAAAAAUGCUGGCUUUGUUGGUGAUGCUAAUCGAAAGCUUUCAUUUGUCAACAUAGAUAUGACAUCUGACAUGGUAGGGCGAUCUGCUGCAUUUUCUUCUACGCAAAGCAGACCGACAUGGAUGCAUCUUAACAGUUGCUCUUUAAUAAACGAAUUUCCUAAUGUUGGAUCCGUUAAUUCUAGCCCUGCACCUUUUUUCCAUAACUCCCAUGCCUGAAGAACAAGGAUUGCAUUUCAUUCUAAAGAAGAAAAAAUAUGAUUAUAAAUUUUAAGAGAGAGAUUUGUUUGUCAUACAUAUCCUACUAAAUUGAGUGCGCGAUCGUCAUUGUAAAAGCUGUUGUUUUUCCUUCCACUUAUGAUUUCAAGCAUCAAUACCCCGAAACUGUAGACAUCAGACUUUACAGAAAUAAUUCCCCCCACGGACUCUGGAGGCAUGUAACCACUGCACGAAAUGAAAAAGAAAAUUAGUCAGUAUACUUAUCUGGAAAAAUGCGUGUUUAGCAGUCAAAAGGGGAGGACCACGUCAAUGUGAUGCAGAAAUACUUACAGUGUCCCCACAACCUUUCUAGUGUUUGCUUCCAAUUCAUUUUGGGUGAAAAUCCUUGCCAUACCAAAAUCUGAAAUUUUUGGGUUCAUGUUUUCAUCAAGUAGUAUGUUACUAGCUUUUACAUCUCUAUGAAUUACUUUCUUUCUUGAGUAUUUGUGCAGAUAAAGCAACCCUUGAGCAAUUCCUUCGAGAAUGCUAAAACGCUUCUUCCAAUCUAGUAGUAGACCUCUGAUUGGAUCUGUCCAAUAUGUAGAGUUAAGUAGGACUAAUAUUAAUUAAUAGUAGUACUCUAUGAACUUUGACAGUAAAAUAAAAAUCAGAUAGUAAAUUUAACAAAUGAAAUCAAGUAUCUUGGUUCCUCACCAAAUAAAAAGUGGUCCAAACUUUUGUUCUGCAGAUACUCAUAUAUCAACAUCAUUUCUUCACCAUGAAUGCAAAAUCCGAAAAGGUGAACCAGGUUUGUAUGUUGGAGUUCAUAUAUAAGUAUCAGUUCAUUCUUGAAUUCUGAUGUUCCUUGCCCUGAACAUUUCGAAAGCCUCUUCACAGCUAUUUCUUGUCCCGCCGCCAAUUUCCCCUGAAUUGAUAAUCCAUAUCAUGUUUUUGCUGUCAUCUUUAGGCAAAUGAAGCUAAUUCCUUUUUUUUUUCUUACAGCUUUUGAAUUAGAACUUGGGAGCAGCCUCUCCAUAAAUGGGGGUAAGGCUAGCCGACAUUCACCUCUCCCAGACCCUGCGUAAAGCGGGAGCCUUGUGCACUGGGUACGACAGCUUUUGAAUUAGAAGCAGAAAUUUUUUUUUUUCAAAAUGUUACCUUAAACCGGUCCAAACCCUCCUUGUCCUAGCUUGUUUUCUUCAGCAAAGUUGCUUGUGGCAGCCACGAUGGAUGAAUAGCUAAAAACGCUAAAAUCAUGAUGUCGCUUAGAUUUCAUGAAGAUAAUCAUUUCGUUCUCAAUCGUUGUCCGGUUCUCACCUAUACAGAUCAAUUAUAAGAAAUUAAAGUUUCAAUGGAGACAACAAUUGUCAAAGAUGUGAUUAAUAAUCCUGUCUUAUGUUGGAUUAUGUGGCCAAGUGGCCAUAUACUUUAGAUUAAACAAACCAAAGGUGGACAACACCUUUCCUUGUUUUGGGGAGGAAAAUAGGGAAAAGGUUUUUUGUCUUGGUCCAUGGGAAGUCACGGUUGAGGUUUUGAAUAAUAAGUUUUGGUUGUAAUGAGAAGUAAGAGUGGGAUAGAAGAGAAGAAAAUAGAGUGCAGAAAAUUGAGAGAGCCGAAGAGAAGAGAGGGAGAGAAAGAAGGUACUGCUACAGUACCAUUUUCAGAGAAGGGGUUGUUGUUCCUUUCAUUGGAUAAUUCUCACUCCAUCAAAGUGUUAUUGUUGUAAUAGCUUUGAGCUUUGUAUAGAGAAGAAAUUAAUCACUAUAUUUCUUUCUCUAUUUGUUUCUUUGGAGUGUGAGUUAUUGGGUUAUUUGGGUUGUGAGAUUGCCAACACUUUGUAAACUCCCAUUUGGUUGAUAGUGGAUUCUUGGGUGAGCUCCUACUGCUCCGAGGACGUACUCUAGUUACACUGACUGUUGAGGAACCUCGUUAAAAUCUUGGUGUCUUUAAUAUUUUGUUCUUGCAUUUUAUUUGAUAUAUUUCCUGUGGGUUAGCUUGAGUUGGUUCCACAAGGGUUUGGUGCUAUCCUAGCACAACAAUUGGUAUCAGAGCACUGGUUGCUCUUGGGUACUGUCUAGUUGCCAAAAAUGUCAGACGGGCAAGAUGAAAAUCCUUUUGGAAGCAGCUCCGGGUUUGCAAGAACGACGGUGCAAAAUGCAAAGUUCGAAGUGGAAAAGUUUGAUGGCACACAAACAACUUCGGGAUGUGGCAAUGUGAGGUCAAAGAUGUGUUGGCUCAACAAGAUCUACUUGCCGCGUUGGGAGAGAAGCCGGAAACUAUGUCGAAGCCGGAAUGGGAAAAAUUAAAUUUGUGGGCUUGCUCUUCAAUUCGGUUGUGCCUUGCAAAAACUCAGAAGUAUUUUGUGAUGCGGGAGACGGUAGCAAGUGUGUGUUGUGGCAAAAAUUGGAAGACAAGUAUAUGACAAAGAGUGCAGAGAACCGACUACACUUGAAGAAAAAAGCUCUACCGCUUCCAAUACAAAGAAGGUACAAAAAUGAUUAGACACCUUGAUGCUUUUAAUAAGUUGAUUGCCGACUUGUUAAAUUUAGAUGAGGAUAUUAAGGAUGAAGAUAAGGCCUUAAUAUUGUUGAAUUCCUUGCCGGACUCUUAUGAGCAUUUUGUUACAACUAUUAUGCAUGGUAAAGAAACUGUGAAAUUUGAAGAUGUGUCAAAUGCCUUGAUGAAUUAUGAAAUGAGGCAUAGAGAUAAAAAUCAUGAUAGUACCUCUGAAGCUUUAUUUGUUAGAGGUAGAUCAUCGGAGAGGAGGUCAUCUUCUAGCAGGAAAAAAUCACAGUCUCGACCUAGAGGAAACUCUAAAGGUAGAAAACCUUUGGAAAGGGAUGAAUGUGCCUUUUGUCGUAAUAAGGGCCAUUGGAAGAAAGAUUGUCCCAAAUUGAAGACCAAAGGAAAAGAAAGUUCUGAAGCUAAUGUUGCUGAGGUUGAAACAGAUUUUUCUGAUUUUGCUUUAACCACUUCCUCAUCAUUUGAUUGUGCUACUAAGUGGGUGUUGGAUACGGGUUGUACUCAUCAUAUGACUCCUCACAAGGAUUGGUUUUCAAGCUUGAAAGAGUUUUGAUGGUGGCGUUGUGUUCAUGGGAGAUGACAAUCCUUGCACAACAAAAGGGAUUGGUACAGUUCGUUUGAAGUUGCAUGAUGGCAUGGUUAAAGAGUUGACAGGUGUUCGGUAUGUACCGAAUUUGAAGAAAAAUCUUAUUUCUUUGGGUACUUUGGAAUCUAAGGGUUUCAGGUUUCAUUCAGAUGGACAGACAUUGAAAGUUACUUAUGGUGCACUUGUUGUGAUGAAAGCUCCUAGAUGUGGCCAUUUGUAUUUAUUGCAGGGAAGCACUGUGACAGGUGAAGCAUCUGUAGUCUCUGAAAAUAUGGGCACAUCUGAUUCAGAUACUACUAGAUUGUGGCAUAUGAGAUUAGGCCAUGCCGGUGAGAAAGCUCUACAAGGGCUUGUGAAAAAAUGUCUUCUAAAAGGUGCCACGACUUGUAAGCUUGAUUUCUGCGAGCAUUGUGUCUUGGGAAAGCAAACUAGAGUGAAGUUUGGUACUGCUGUACAUCAGACGAAGGGCAUUCUUGAUUAUGUGCAUUCGGAUGUUUGGGGUCCUACAAAGACUCCCCUCUUUGAGUGGUAGACAUUGGUUCGUGACCUUUGUUGAUGAUUAUUCAAGAAGGUCUUGGGUCUACACUAUGAAGCAUAAGAGUGAGGUGUUAAGCAUUUUCUUGGGUUGGAAGAAAAUGGUUGAGAACCAGACUGGGAGAAAGAUUAAGAUUUUGAGAUCGGAUAAUGGUGGUGAAUACACAUCCGAUCCUUUCUUUAAAGUUUGCAAAGAGGAAGGAAUUGUGAGACAUUUCAGUGUUCGGGGAACUCCACAACAAAAAUGGAGUUGCAGAAAGAUUGAAUCGAACCUUGCUUGAGAAAGGUUAGAUGUAUGUUGUCUCAGUCGGGUUUAAGCAAGUCAUUUUGGGCAGAAGCAGUUAAUUAUGCAUGUCACAUCAUCAACCGGUUACCCUCAGCUGCUAUUCAGGGUAAGACACCAAUGGAGGUAUGGACUGGAAAACCUUCUUCUGAUUAUGAUCAUAUUCGUAUUUUUGGUUCACCUGCUUAUUUUCAUGUAACUGAAAAUAAACUUGAUCCUAGAGCCAAAAAGGCUAUCUUUCUUGGUUUUAGUAGUGGUGUCAAAGGUUACAGGUUGUGGUGUCCAGAGAUGAAGAAACUGGUAAUUAGUAGAGAUGUGACAUUUGACGAAGAAAGUAUGUACAAAGUCUCUGAGAAGAAUGUGAAAGAUGUCCAACAGGUGGAGCUUGAGAAAGUUGCUUCUGGUACUUCAAAUCCUAUUUCCGCUGAUGUCGAAGCCACUACAAGUGAAGAAGUUGGAGACCAUGAGGAUGUUGAAGAAGUUGAACUUGAAGAUUCUAUUCAAGUUGAAGAGCAAGUUUCACCUCAAGAGUCUAUUGCCAAGAACAGAGGAAAGAGACAAAUUACUAAGCCAGCUCGGUAUAGUGAUUAUGUUGCUUUUUGCUCUUCCUAUUAUCACUGAAGAGAUUCCAUCCAAUUUUGAGGAAGCUAUUGAGAGUGAGGAGAAGAAUAGGUGGUGCAAUGCCAUGGGUGAUGAGAUGAAUUCUCUCUUGAAGAACAAGACUUGGGAGUUAGCUAAAUUGCCUAAGGGCAAGAAAGCUAUUGGUUGCAAAUGGGUGUAUGCCAAGAAGGAAGAUGCUGAUGAGAAAAGCAAUGUGAGAUUUAAAGCAAGAUUAGUUGCUAAAGGGUAUGCACAAAAGGAGGGCAUUGACUACAAUGAAAUCUUUUCUCCGGUUGUGAAGCACUCCUCAAUUCGCAUUAUGUUAGCUCUUGUUGCACAGUAUGAUCUUGAGCUUGUGCAACUUGAUGUAAAAACGGCUUUCCUACAUGGUGAUUUGAAUGAAGAGAUUUAUAUGUGUCAACCAGAUGGGUAUAUAGUGAAAGGGAAGGAGAAUUUGUUUUGCAAAUUGAAGAAAUCACUUUAUGGUUUGAAGCAAUCUCCAAGGCAAUGGUAUUUGAGGUUUGAUAAAUUUAUGAGAGGCCAAAAUUAUUCUAGAAGUCAAUAUGAUCAUUGUGUGUACUUCAAGAAGUUGCAAGAUGGGUCUUUCAUUUAUUUAUUGAUAUAUGUUGAUGAUAUGUUGAUUGCCUCAAAGAAUGUCGAAGAGAUUGAGAAAUUGAAGAAGCAAAUGAAGAAUGAGUUUGAGAUGAAGGAUCUUGGUGAAGCGAAGAAGAUCCUUGGCAUGGAGAUCACUAGAGAUAGAGCAAAGGGUUUCGUCAGUUUGAAUCAAAAACAAUACCUUGAGAAGUUGAUUCGGAAGUUUGGAGUUCAUGAUUCAACCAAACCGGUUAGUACCCCUUUGGCUCCUCAUUUUAAAUUGAGUUCUCUACAAUGUCCUAAAAUCGAUAAAGAGAAACUGCAAAUGAAAAAUAUACCAUAUGCAAAUUUGGUUGGUAGUUUGAUGUAUGCAAUGGUAUGCUCUAGACCGGAUAUUGCUCAUGCAGUUGGCAUGGUGAGUCGAUAUAUGCAUAAUCCAAGUAAAGAGCAUUGGCAAGCAGCUAAGUGGAUAUUGAGGUAUCUCCAUGGUACUCGAGAUGUUGGUUUAUGCUUUGAGAGGGAUGACUCUGGUAUUGGUCAUUUUGCAGUUGGUUAUGUUGAUUCAGAUUAUGCAGGUGAUCUGGAUGGAAGGAAGUCUACUACAGGCUAUGUGUUUACUAUGGCUAAAGGGCCAGUUUGUUGGAGGUCCAUUUUGCAGUCGUCUGUUGCCUUGUCUACUACAGAGGCUGAAUAUAUGGCAGUUGCUGAAGCUAUAAAGGAGGCCAUUUGGAUACAUGGGCUUAUUAGAGAUUUGGGGGUUGAUCAGAAGCAGGUGGAGGUACAUUGUGAUAGUCAGAGUGCCAUUUAUUUGGCUAAGUAUCAGGUUCAUCAUGCGAGGACCAAGCACAUAGAUGUGCGUUAUCACUUUGUUCGUGAAAUUGUUGGUGAAGGGGAAAUCAUUCUCCAGAAGAUUCCAACUAAAGACAACCCCGCUGAUAUGUUGACUAAGGUUGUUGGUGUAGCCAAGUUUGUUCACUGUUUGAACUUGGCUCACAUUUUGCCUAUAUAAAGAAGGCGUUGAGUAGUAGGAGUUUUGGAGCAUUUGGCUCAGCAUGAGUUGUUCUCUUGCUAGUGUUUGGGAGUGAUGUUGUGUGCUAAUUGUGUUGGUUGGCUUAUCAUGGCGUUUUCGGAACUUGGCCAAGGUGGAGAUUGUUGGAUUAUGUGGCCAAGUGGCCAUAUACUUUAGAUUAAACAAACCAAAGGUGGACAACACCUUUCCUUGUUUUGGGGAGGAAAAUAGGGAAAAGGUUUUUUGUCUUGGUCCAUGGGAAGUCACGGUUGAGGUUUUGAAUAAUAAGUUUUGGUUGUAAUGAGAAGUAAGAGUGGGAUAGAAGAGAAGAAAAUAGAGUGCAGAAAAUUGAGAGAGCCGAAGAGAAGAGAGGGAGAGAAAGAAGGUACUGCUACAGUACCAUUUUCAGAGAAGGGGUUGUUGUUCCUUUCAUUGGAUAAUUCUCACUCCAUCAAAGUGUUAUUGUUGUAAUAGCUUUGAGCUUUGUAUAGAGAAGAAAUUAAUCACUAUAUUUCUUUCUCUAUUUGUUUCUUUGGAGUGUGAGUUAUUGGGUUAUUUGGGUUGUGAGAUUGCCAACACUUUGUAACUCCCAUUUGGUUGAUAGUGGAUUCUUGGGUGAGCUCCUACUGCUCCGAGGACGUACUCCAGUUACACUGACUGUUGAGGAACCUCGUUAAAAUCUUGGUGUCUUUAAUAUUUUGUUCUUGCAUUUUAUUUGAUAUAUUUCCUGUGGGUUAGCUUGAGUUGGUUCCACAAGGGUUUGGUGCUAUCCUAGCACAACAUCUUACUGGUGCACAUGAUUUAAAGAAAUAUACCAGCUGAUGCAAGGGCUGAUCUUCUUCGUUGGAGUAGAUAGUACGCGGUGCAAAGCACUAGAGCAGCAGCUAUAGAAAUGCCAAUCCAAACCCAUUUAUCUGCUGCAUCAUAAACAAUUAGCUAGCAACAUAUGCAAUCAGCGUAACACACACGCACAUGUACGCAUUAAUUGUCUUCAAUUUUUGGAUGAACUAGGUCUUGCAGGUUUCUUCCAGAAAACGAAGAAAAAUCCGAGACAGAGAGCAGAACUUAAGACAACAAUAACAAAGAUAGAGGUACCUAAUAAUACUGAUUCCACGCGUGUCACAGAUUUCCGGCUUAAAUCGGGUUUGCAGCCUCGGUAUAUAUCCUUCGGAUCAAGAAAAGAAAACCCUUUUGGGCAUUCGCAGGUUGGCCUUUUAUCUGGUUUGAGCUUACAGGUACUGUUGUAACCGCAAACACCAACGCCCAGUCGUAGGCAAAUAUCAUCCGGCAUAUACACCAGAGGACUAAUCCAGCUUGCAUUUCCAGUGAAGUAUUUCGGGUGAGAAUAUAAAGCGAAAAUCCCAUCAAAAUCAAGAGUUGCCCUUAUGUAGUUGUCCCUCACCGACACUCCCUCUGUCCCCUUAAGAGGGACUCUUCCAUCAUUUUCUCUCAGAACAGACAUGUCCCCUGAGCUGCUGAACACCAAUUCUUUGCCUUGACUACCUGGCACGUUCCCUGCGGUGGUCUUCGUGGAGAAGUAAGCUUUCUUGGCCUUAUCUGUUGUCAAGUUGACGGAAAUGAGCACGAGGUUUCCAUCAUCUUGCAAGCGCAGCUGGAACCGCCCUUUUGUGUAGUUAGUCUCCGAUUGUCUACACGAAAGCUUCCCAUUUCUCUCAAUUGUCUGUCCAGGCAAAACGGUGUCUGUAGGAUUGCUGAAGGUCUCCCACAAGCUCCCCGAGUUUUGGUGUUGAAGGACAAAGUUUCCGGUGUCAUUCAUGACCCCGUUCGCAACAGUCCCCAAGGUUAUUUCGGAUUUCCAUAUCUCUCCACCCUGAGGAUUGUUAAGAACUAGUCCACUGUUGGCAGUCAAGUUCAGAACUGAUCCCCUAGGUGCAACCAUGGGGUUGUUACCGUCGUAUGCAUACCAAACCACGGUUUUGUCUGGGAUAUUCGCAUACCAUAUCGAAAGCAAGAAAAGAUCAUUGUUUCCGAGGGGCGAAAAUCCAAACUCGAAAUCACCGGAUGGAGAAAGCCAUGAUGAGGAGUCGCCUAUAGUUGCAGUUAGAGAACUCCCAACUGCUACUCUUCCAUUAUUUUGGGAAAUCACAGAAAUUGGUAGCAAAAACAAAGAGAACAAAAGCAUCUCUACAGAAAGAGCCACUGCCAUUGCAAAAGCACCAAUUUUUCAACUUGGCUUAACUGAUUAGCUAUAUUUCUUAGUAAAGCAUUGGUCCUUGUUUAUAUCUUCAAGUAAAUGUGUGUGCAUGUGCCUGUCAUUUUCUAAGUUUUUGCCUGGAAUCAUUUUUUGAAGUCAAUGUUACCCAUCAGCCACGAUAUGACCUCAGACCUCGCUACAUCACACACAAUAAUAUCUCCGGGCCUACAGAAUAAUUUCUCCAAACCUACACAUAUCACAAGAAUUUCACUUUGAAAAAAAUAAUAUAAUGAACAGUUUUAUAUAUAAGACACCGAUACCGAUACUUUUUGUGAUAGAACUUAUUGUCUCUCUCAAUUCCUUGUAAUGUUGCAAGUUGGAGCAAUAUUGAUGUAAUUAGUAAUGGCCCGCUAACUUGCCUCUCUCAAAUCUCUUUUCAUCCUACUCUCGUCCCUCGUCCGUUUUAUGAUUCUACUUAAUUAAGCACUUAUAAGUGUUCCAAAUCAAACUUGUAACUUAAAUAAUUAAAAAUAUUUAUCACUACACUGGGGAUUCUAGGUUCCAAAAUAUAAUAUAUAAUAUAUAUGAAUGUUCCAAACCAAAAGGACAAGUAAAUACGAGCAUGACUCACGCUGCAUGUGUCGGCCAUUCAAGUCCACAAGUCAAAAUUCAACAAUGGGGCCCACAAAGAAAAUUUGAAAAAGUACAUGCAGAUUGAGGACGUAUACAAAGAAUCUGAAAACAAACCUCCAGGACCAAACAAAGACGACUAAGUCUCCAUUUCUGUAUUCACACAAACCAAAGUACUAACUGAAGUUUUUAAUGUAUGAUUACGUCAUUGGGGUAAAACACCCGAGGCCGAGUUGAGAUAAUCACAGGGUUGGGGAAUCGAGAUCCUCUCCGAAUGUCACAGUCUGGCACAAACGAACGUAGAGAUCCGAACCACUUAUUUUAAAUUCUACGGUCUUCAUUAGCCUAUCCUAUUGGCCCACAUCACACAAGGGGCCCAAAUCUUUCUCUCCCCUCUCUUGAACGGUUUGGAUAUCUCGGUCUGUCGAUUUUGGAUUGGGAGAUUCAAAGAGAAUUUGAUUUCGGGUUUGAGGUGUGGUUCGCCGACCAUUUGAAGCUCGUUGAGGCGUGGCCCAUCUCAUCCACGUCGGGAUAGCCAUUUCGUACCAAGUUGGAUCCCAGGUCAGGCCAGUCAUUUCAUUAGCCUAAGAUAGACCUGACAGACGAGGCGCUUGGAUAUUGCCUACCGCGACCAAAUGGACCCAUGGGCUCAUUAGAUGAUGAGUCUGGACCCUGGGGUGUGUAAAGCCCACCUCAGCUCGAUCCAUAUUCGGUCGAUACUUAAGGGAAGGUGGAUAUGGGGUAAAGGUAGAGUAAGCUCCAAGCCAUGUGGAGGUCAGUCGAGAUUGAACACACAUUCAUAGAAUCAUAGUAUGAAAUUCAAGUCCAAAUUUUAACACUACGAAACCGAAAAGCAUGCAACUCCGAAGAGCAUUGUUUCAGUCCAACAACCUAAACUUCCUUAAAAAACUAAGACAAAAACGACGACACUAGUAAACGGAAAAACAUGCAACUCAGAAAACCAUUGCUCUAGUCUAAAUGAGGUUCCUCAAUGCCUCAAGCUUUUCUAAACACCAUAGCCUGAACCUUUUCCUUUGCGCCUUCUUUGCUUCACCAGAAACGUUCUUAAUGAGCUUCCUUCAAAUUUGGGACGAGCAGGCAUUAGGCUGUGCACAAUGCUGUAAAUGCCCCUAGCCCUUGCCACACCCUAGGUGCGUACGCUUGCAUGUCCGACCUGAGUUAUCUCAUUACGCGCGCAGUUUGAUCUUCCCGUAUUGACAUCCCUGCUGUCUAUUCUCAUGCGAAUCCUUUUGCUGGUGACUUCAUCCGGGUCCAUUUUCUUGCUCCUCAGUGCAUGUUCAUCUGCUUUUCCCUAUUAAUAAAUAUAGGAAUCCCAUAACAAACAGCAUUUGACAAAACAGAACGUAAUAAUAACAACAAAACUUGACUUCAUCCUCAUUGCAUGUUCAUCUGCUUUUCCACUUCAAAGCAGCUGACGGCACGAUUCGUACUUGGACUCCAAGAUGUCUAGAUUAUGGAGAAACUAUCCCUUUGUCCAAAACACACAAAGAAGUGGAUUUUCCGUUUAUACCAAGUGUGUUGAAGCAUGUCCCACAUGGCCACAUCGGAAACUUGUUGAAGUUUAAAUCCUCUUAUAUAGAAAGUUCGACUACUAAUUGCCUUGAGGCCUUAAUUUUGUAUAAAACCAUACCUAUUGAAUUGCACACGUGCUUAAGUUAAGGUUAGUAUUAAUGGUAAUUAGUAGUGGGCCGCUGGUCGUCUUCAAAAAACUGGUACAAAGGGAAGAUUUAUAGAAGCAGUGUUGAGAUAAAGGCAAUUCAUCUGUUCUUUUUAGAAGGAUAUAAAUGAAGCAAGGUUUAUCUGCUCACCCGUAAUGCGGCUCAGCCCUUCAUCAAAAAGUGAAAUAUCAAAAUUACUUUUACAGCAAGAGCAAUACCAGAAGAUGUAAUCUAAAUUGUUUAUAUUUGGUUCCCUUGAAAUCCUUUUGACUGUUUCAACAUAGUAUAUGUUGGUAUUUAAAAGUUUAGAAACUUAAUACCAAUUAUGUGGGUGAUAGGUUUUCUAACUCUAUCACACCUCUAUCUCUUUUACUCUCUUUGAAAAUGGAUCGAUAGAAAGAAAAAACAGCAAGCUUCUUAAAGAAACAAGUACUUGAUAUAUUAAAAGAGUUUCAACUCUAUUGCUGAAAAUAUGGAAUGGAAUUACAAAGAGCCUUACGGAAAGGCAUUCUUAUACUUGCAAAAAACAAGAGAACCACACAAGUGGUUUUCAUAAACAAAUGCAAACAAAGACUUUCUAGACUUAGCUAGUGGAAAACUAUCCAUGCAAAAUAAAAUAAAGGGGUUCAAAGUCUUUACUUGCAGCAGUUUUAGACUAUUGAACACACACACACACACACUACUUUAUUCUAGUGGUUUACAACCACAUUUCGGCUAGCACAGAAGAGAAGCAUUAAUUUGGGUAAGUGCAGGAAGUAUGAGUCAAAAGAAACAGCUAGCAGCCCACUAACAUUGAAAUAAUGUUUUUAUUUGAACUUCCAACACUCCCCCUCAAAUCAAAACACCUUCAUUCCUAGCAUGUCAUGCAGCAGCCGGAAUGAUUCAAUUGGCAGUGGCUUUGUGAAGAUGUCAGCCACUUGUUCCUUGGUGUGACAAUAGAUAAGCUCAAUUAUCUUUUGCUUCACAUGAUCCCUCAGAAAAUGGAACCUGGUAUCGAUGUGCUUGCUCCUUCCAUGUUGAACAGGAUUCUUUGCAAGCUUGAUUGCAGACAUGUUAUCCACAUGAAUCACAGUAGAUUCCACUUGUGGAUGACAUAAAGAUUUCAACAGAUUUCUUAACCAAAUUGCCUCACACACAGUUAAGGCUGCAGCAACGUACUCGGCUUCACACGAUGACAGAGCAAUAAUUGAUUGCUUCUUUGAAGUCCAUGAGAAAGCUGUUGAUCCUAGAAAAAACACAUAGCCAGUUGUACUUUCCCUUUCAUCUUGGUCACCUCCCCAAUCACUAUCUGAAUAACCAAAUAAUUUUGCAUCUUCACCAAAAUUAUAAAACAGACCAUAGUUUAGAGUGCCUCUUAUGUACCUUAAAAUUCUCUUGGCAGCCAACCAAUGAGACUCAUUUGGUGUUUCCAUGUACCGACUCACGAGUCCAACACCAUAAACUAUAUCUGGUCUUGUGAUUGUAAGGUACCUCAAGCUUCCAACGAGGCUUUUGUACACGGUUGAGUUUACAAGCUCACCUUCUCCUUCCUUGGACAGUUUCAAUCCAGUUGCAACUGGAGUGUUGACAAUAUUGCACUUGUCCAUAUUGAAUUUCUCCAAUAUAUCUCUCAUGUACUUUUGUUGAGAGAUGUAGAUACCGUUACUUUCUUGCUUCACCUCUAUGCCAAGAAAGUAUGACAUUAAUCCAUUGUCAGUCAUCUCGAAUUCACUGAACAUGGAUUGCUUGAACUCACAGAACAUUGCUUCAUUGUUUCCUGUAAACAACAAGUCAUCUACAUAGAGACAAAUAAUUAAGAACUCCCAUUUUUCACCGUUCUUCAUGUAAACUGAAUGCUCGUAUGGACAUUUCUGAAAUCCAUUUUGGUGAAGGUAGUUAUCAAUCCUUGAGUUCCAAGCUCGUGGUGCUUGCUUGAGGCCAUACAAAGCCUUUUUCAAAUGAUACACCUUAUCUUCUUCUCCUUGUACUCGGAAGCCUUCCGGUUGUUUCACGUACACUUCUUCCUCAAGAACUCCAUUAAGGAAGGCUGACUUGACAUCUAGUUGAUAAAUUUUCCAUUUAUGAUGAGUGGCAAGAGAGAUUAGCAAUCUUACCGUGUCAAGUCUUGCAAUUGGAGCAUAGACUUCAUCAUAGUCCACUCCAUACUUCUGUUUGUAGCCCUUUGCUACAAGCCUUGACUUGUAUCAAUCCACACUCCCAUCUGCAGUGCGUUUGAUCUUGUACACCCACUUGACACCAAUAGCCUUCUGAUUUGGUGGGAGCUUUGUCAACUCCCAAGUGUCAUUCUUCUCGAUGGCAUGGAUUUCUUCCUCCAUGGUUAUUCUCCAACGAUCUUCUUCCACAGCUUCAUUGAAUGAGAGAGGCUCGUGGUCUACAUACAAGCAGAAAAAAUUGGUUUCUUCUUCUUCUUCUUGUCCAUAUAUCUCGGUGAGACUUCUUAGCCUCACUGGAGUUGAUGAGCUGCUUUCCUCACUGGAUGUAGGACCACUCCUUGCAAUUCUGUGCACUGGAGUUAUUGUGGUUAUUUGAGCAGGUUGUUGCUAGAUAGGUGGUACAACUUCUGGUUCUUCAAAAUCAGUGGAAACAAUCUUCUCUUUACUGACUUCUUUGUUGUUCCACUUCCAUGCAUCUUCCUCACUGAAGAUGACAUCUCCACUAACCACUAAUUUGCCAGUUAGUGGGUUGUAGAGCUUAUAUGCCUUUGACUCUUCACUAUAGCCCACAAACACACACUUUUCACCUCGAUUAUCAAGCUUCCUCCUCUUGGCUUCUGGAACCUGAGCAUAUGCAACACACCCAAAAACUCUUAGGUGUGCAACAUUCGGCUUGUAUCCACUCCAAGCCUCUUGUGGUGUCAUCCUCUUGACACUCUUUGUUGGACAUCGAUUCAACAAAUAAAUUGAACAAGCUACAGCUUUUGCCCACAAUUCUUUUGGCAAAUUCUUCUCCUUAAGCAUGGACCUUGCCAUGUCAAGGAUGGUUCGAUUCUUUCUUUCGGCUAUUCCAUUUUGCUGUGGGGUAUAGGCAGUAGUCAGUUGAUGCCUAAUUUCUUGCUCCUUGCAAUAUGCUUGGAAAGCAUUGGAGGUGUACUCUCCACCUCUAUUUGAUCUCACAGCCACAAGCUUGUGGUUGCUUUCAGCCUCUGUGAGUGCCUUGAACUCCUUGAAAACUUUUAGGGCAGCUGACUUCUCCUUGAGAAAAUAGACCCAAGUCUUCUUACUGAAAUCAUCAAUGAAGGUAAUAAAAUACCUAUUACCUCCAUAGGACAUAGGAUCUAACGGACCACAUAUAUCCGUAUGUACCAACUGCAGUGGUGCUUUUGCUCUCCAUGCAUCACCAACAGGGAAUGUGAGCCGUGUUUGCUUGCCAAGCACACAACCUUCACAUACUUGGCGUGUGGCUUCAAUCUGGGGUAGACCACGAACCAUUCCUCCACUUGACAGCAACUUUAGGCCAUUGAAAUGAAGAUGGCCAAACCGAAGAUGCCAUUUCCAUGACUUAUCUUCCAUUACACCGAUGUUGCAACUCCCAAUCCUUGUGUUCAACUUCAAUGGGAACAUUCGGUUCUUUGACAUUUGAACACGUGCAAUAAGUUUUCUCCUUGCAUUCCUAAGAGUGAGAAACAUAUCCUCCAUAUGUAUAAUAUACCCUUUCUGGAGCAGUUGACCAACGCUCAGAAUGUUGCUCUUCAUACCUGGUAUGUAGUAGGUAUCGAAGAUGUAUUCUUCUCUACCAUCCUUCUGGAUGAUUUUGAUCUUUCCUUUGCCUUCAACUGGCAACUUUGAGGAGUCACCAAGACUCACAGAUCCAUAAGGCCCAUCUUUGAGUUCGGCAAAAAACUCUUUCUUUCCACACAUAUGGUUGCUUGCACCAGAGUCCAAAUACCAAACAUCUUGUUGGUUACUGGAAUCAUGGUGUGCUAGUAAGACUGUAAAUUCCUCACCAGCAUUUCCACUUGAUUCUGCCAUGUUGACAUGCUCACCAUUUUUAUAUGAACAUUCACCUUUCCCAGACCCUGCGUAAAGCGGGAGCCUUGUGCACUGGGUACGACCUUUUUUUUUUUUUUUAUUCAUUGGCAUAAUGUCCAUAUUGCUUGCAACUGUGACACUGGAUAUGUGCCUUUCCUCGAGUAGAUCUGCAUUCUUGAGACUGAGCUCGAUUUUGUGCAUAGCCUCUACCUCUUCCUCGGGCUCGUCCUCGGCUACAGUUGGAUGAAUUCCCACGACGUGAGUUCCACUGCCCACGACCUCCAUUUGGUUUGUCAAUAUUCAACUUUGACUCCAAAGCUUGCUCUAGCGUUGUGGGGCUUGCAUUCUUCUGAAUGCGUUGCUCGUGAACUAUGAGGGAUCCUAGUAGCUCCUCUGCGCUCAUCGCCUCCAAAUCCUUGGAUUCCUCAAUGGCAGUCACCACAUGCUCAAACUUAGAUGUGAGUCAUGUGAGUGACUGGAGUAUCUUCUCCACAACUCGUACUUCAUCGAGUCUCUCGCUAUUUAUCCUCAUCUGAUUUACUAUCACAAUGAGCCUUGAGUGAUAGUCGGAGAUGCUCUCCCCUUCAUUCAUGUGAGUAGUUUCAAAAUCUGCUCGAAGUGACUGUAACCUCACUUUCUUGACUCGAUCUACUCCUUUGUAGAUUGUACUGAGUGUGUCCCAUACUUGCUUGCUCGUUGUUGCUUCUGCAACCUUCUCAAACGUUGAAUCUUCUAGACCCUGGUAUAGAAGAUACAACGCCUUCUGGUCCUUCUUUCGUAAGUCCUUGAGAGUGUUCCUUUGUUCUGCAGUAUAUGCGGCUUCUUGAUUGGCAGUGGGUACAACAUACCCAUUACUGACAACUUCCCAUAGCUCCUGUGAUCCAAACAAUGCUUUGAAUUGGAUGCACCAUCUUUCAUAAUUUUCUUUCUUCAAUGUGGGAACCUGGAGCUGCACUAAGUUGGACGCCAUAACUGCUGCACUUGCCAGAAUGGUAUUCUGGCUCUGAUACCAAUUGUUGGUAUUCAAAAGUUUACAAACUUAAUACCAAUUAUGUGGGUGAUAGGUUUUCUAACUCUAUCACACCUCUCUCUUUCUUUUACUCUCUUUGAAAAUGGAUUGAUAGAAAGAAAAAACAACAAGCUUCUUAAAGAAACAAGUACUUGAUAUAUUAAAAGAGUUUCAACUCUAUUGCUGAAAAUAUGGAAUGGAAUUACAAAGAGCCUUACGGAAAUGCAUUCUUAUACUUGCAAAAAACAAGAGAACCACACAAGUGGUUUUCAUAAACAAAUGCAAACAAAGACUUUCUAGACUUAGCUAGUGGAAAACUAUCCAUGUAAAAUAAAAUAAAGGGGUUCAAAGUCUUUACUUGCAGCAGUUUUAGACUAUUGAACACACACACACACUACUUUAUUCUAGUGGUUUACAACCACAUUUCGGCUAGCACAGAAGAGAAGCAUUAAUUUGGGUAAGUGCAGGAUGAGUCAAAAGAAACAGCUAGCAGCCCACUAACAUUGAAAUAAUGUUUUUAUUUGAACUUCCAACACUAUAUGCAGAGAGAACCAGAACCAAGUCCAGACUCACUCGUAAUAGGUCUCUCCUCAUCCACAACAAUAUCCCAGCUUUCCCUUGUCGUGGUUUUCCCAUAUUUGUGCACCUUACUGCAAAGAGAGAGCAAGUUAACUUGUCAAAGAAAAACCAGAACAAUAGAUGCCAAUGCAGUUCAGAAAGUUUAUUUCCCUUCAUACCCAUUUCCAAAGUGCUCUUCUCCCCAUGUCCUUGACCAACCUAGACAUGAGAGAACAAAAACAAAGUCACAUCAGAUUAAAUUAUUGAAAGAAAAAGGUUCACUUACAAAUCGACAUUAGAAUCAAGCAACCACGCUAUGAAAUACAAAUUUAAAAUGUAACAAUUUACUGUGUCUGAAAGGAAUCUGUGAAAUAAAAUAGUUAAACCCUAAACAGCACCACUGCAAAUAGCAUAAGAAAAUUAAAAUUAACCCUAAAGAAAUUGGGAGAGAAGAAUAUGAAAAGGGAAUACCUUUCGGCCCUUUGAGUUAUUGGAAAAAACCCAACAGAGCAAAAGAUAAACAAAAAUACAGGAGGAAAGAAAAUAAAUUUUCAACUUGUAAGAUUCAUACACGAACAGAUUGGCGGUCAAAAGCAUUUCGAAACUCAGAGCCAUCAAGCUUUUUGAUCUGCAUGGAAAUUAUUUAUGAAGUUUGAGAUUCUUAUAGAUGCUUUAGACACAUCGACAUAUUGAAAAAGCAAUAUUCAACAACCUAGUACCCAUGCUCCCUAGAAGGGUACAGAAAAUAUGAAUGUCUGGACUCUGGAGUGAGAAAGUAAAAGGACUUGCCGCAUACUUCAUAUCUUCCAAGUUUGUGUAGUCUACAAUCCCUGUUGUGCCUACAAAAAAGGCAUAGGACAAAAGCUAAAUCAAUCGAAAUUCUGAUGUCUCAUGAUCUAGGUCUUAGGAUUAAACUACUGAAAUAACACUACAUGAAAUAGCUGUGUAUAUCCCAAAAAAAGUAUGAAAUCUGGUUGAUAAUUGAAGACUUCGAAGGGAUUUACCUUUGGAUUCUUUGGCUUUCAGAUGGAGUUUGCUUAUGUGUGGGGGAGAGAGGUGGAGCGGCUAGGGCUUGAGUAUGGAAGAGAUGAAAAAUGCAGAGAGCACCUGUUUUCGCUGAAGCAACUCACACACUCUGGACAAAUCUGCAAAUGUCUAAAAGGGGGAAAAUAUAAAAAGAAACCUUAACAACUGAAUUCAAAGAAACAUUAUUACAUUGUAAAUAACAUUUCACAAAAAAAAAAAAAAAAAAAAAAAACUGAACUAAACUAAUUACACUCGGAUUGCAAUGCUAUCAUUUAAUAAUAGGAAUUCCCAUAACUUAGCAGAAGACCUGCAUCUGCAAAGGAUUCUUUAAAACCUAUUUUUUUUGAACAACCCCGCACCUACAACACAUCCAGGCAAGGUAAACCAAUAGCACCCUCAUUCUAAGCUCUUCUGUGCAUAUAUACCCCUUAUAAGUAAUCUUAAUCAAUCAGUUAUCAUGAAUAUAGUCAGUUAUCACGAAUAUACAACUUAUAUUAAUUUUCUACAAUAUCCAACACACAAAUAUAACAGAAGAGGAAACUUUUACUUAAGCAGCACAAAAUGAUAUCCUUUGCAUUUCAUUCCAAAAUCCAUCACUCUUAUGUCUUUGCCUGCACAGUUUUUGCUCCAACAUAGCCCGCCAUGAUGAUAGCACUAUCAAUAAUUAAGACAUAAAGAAAGGCUAUCCUAGCUAGGUAUUAUCAUUGGAGUAAACCAACAACACCAUAAGUAAAGUAGCAGACCAAAUUUUUUCUAGAAUUGAUGUCUUAACAUGUUUAAGUAGCGAAAAGAUUACAACACAUUGGAUGUGUUAACACAUCCAUAAGCUAAUGACUCCCUCUCCGGAUCACUACAUCAUUCUUAAUGUAUUCAACAAUGCAGCAGCAAUUAAAAGUCCUUGGAAAAUGCCAAGCUACUACAAUGACAUAACGAAAAACUAUAUCUCACCUUACCCCCUUGUUGGCAUAGACUGCAUAUCCGCCCUUGUUCGGGGUGAAUCAUAAUCCUGAACUCAAUUAUCAUCAUCGUUGAGAAUGUCAAACUUUAAAUCAACCAUGCAUGGAACAAAACUUAGAAAUUAAACAAUUAUCAAAGCUUAUGAAGAAUGCUAAACCCAACUAAUUCGAAACAUAAAGUAACCCAAAAGAGAGAAAACUUAUAAAUUUUACAUAAAUUAUAAUCCUUAACAGAAGGAUGGAACAAAGCAGGUUCAUUCUUGAGAAUAGAUGUAAUUUUGCACAUUGCAUAUAUGUAGAUUAAGGCUGGUGGUAACAUACCUUGUAAUUUGUACAAAUUAGGAUUUUCAUUCAAAGAACCAUAAUAUACACAAUUACAAAAACAGUGAUUCAAACUUGUUCUUCUCUUAAGGAAAUUACUCACAGUUGAAAUUCUGAAUGGACGAAGUUUUGGCAUCCCUUUCUGACUAUAUUUGAUUAACCUUUUUUUAAUCCAAUGAGUGCCUUCAUGAGAGAGAGAGAGAGAGAGAGAGGAAUAUUAGGUGAAAUGUAUUGCCAAAUCACACAGAGAUCAAAAUCUUGAAUAUAUAUGUUUAACCAUAUCAAAGUGAGUGUGUGAAAGGGUGUAGUCUGCAGAAAGGGCAACAUUUUCACUGCUAGAAAGUUGGAAACUAAACUUUUACACAGAUAUUGGAUUUUAUUAAUUCCCUCCGCGAAUUGAAAAGCAAAUUGUUCGAGUAAUGCAGGUAAAUUCGAUAUACAUAUGCGUUGAUCUAUGUAAGACAGUUAUAAGUUAUAACUGUAUCGUCUUAACACAAAAAUGAUCAUAAAUGUAAGUGUCUGUAUUAUGGAAGUAAGGGACUUACAGCAAUUGCUAUGAGCUAUAACAGCAGUCACUCCAAGUACCCUAUUAUGGAAGUAAGGGACUUAUAUCAAUUGCUAUGAGCUCUACCAGCAGUCUCUCAAAGUGGUGCAACGGCUAAAAUUAUAAAUAAAAAGUAAUUUAAACAAUUUAACUUAAUAAAAUAUUGUAAUUUAAACAAUGCCUAUAUAUUCAAACAUCCCAAAACAGGAAUGAACUUCCAAAAAACAUGCGCAUGAAAAUAAACGGCAUUACUCACCCAUUGAGUUGGACCAUCAAACUGGAGCGUAAGAAGGAUCAUCAUGUACCUAUGAAACCCAAAGGAAACUUUUAGCAACCCCAAAGCUUGUAUGCAAGCGUGAAUAAGUAUGCGUGUAUGAAUCUAUUCAUAGUGAAGAAGGCUACCUUAAGAAAUAUUUGCAUCUGCAGCUUCAUAUGGCCAUACAACAAAAAGCAUCGCAUAUGAUAACAAACCCCAGCUGCACCACAAAAGGAAUAUGAUCUUCCUCUCAACUUGUAUUUGCAGUUGUUACUGUAACAUCUGCAGACAGCAUACAUAAGCACUGAUUCGAAAAUUCUAAAGGAAAAAAAGUCCUUAUUCGAUAAUGCACCAAAUCCUAUCCGAAAACCAAGGGGGUGCCAUAUCCCUAGAUUAACAGAGCAUCUUUCUUUGUUCCAAAACAAAUUGCAAUUGGCUUUGGUAAAGUAGAAAGAUUACCAGAUACCGACUCUGUUCCAUUAUUCGACUGUCCUUUUAGUUCUGUCUCUCAACAUGGGAAAUACAAUAAGACAGUAAAAACAAAAGUUAGUGAUGCUAUUACAUAGUGAAAGAAAAUAAGACAUUCACAUAUUGAUAGCUAUUUACUGUCCUUUCUCAUCAUAAUCUUGGCCCAUAUAUAUAUAUAUAUAUAUUGAAUUUUGAAAGCAAUGAGAGAAAUAUACCUUUGGGGCGUCACUGCCAGAAGGGUGAGUGAGGGAUCUAAGAUGUUUGAGAGCAGAAAUUUUUAAGUAAUUUGUGCGAAAAAGUUGAAGAGCUUCGAACAGAGUGGAGUGGGUUGGCCUGGGCUAAAAUAAAGAGGAUGAACUCUAGAAAGUAGAAAAUGUUGUGUUCAACCAAACUCAAAAGUAAAGAAACCAUACAAUUAACAUAUAAAUAAGUUUUAUAUACCAAUGAUUACAUGUACGUUGUUUGAGAAGGUAAAUUAGCAACAUAUACAGUGAUCAAAAGAUUAACAGCAAUAAACUGCUCAUUAUUCAAAAUAUACAAGAAAGUUGUCAUUCACAUGAUCCAAAUGGUAGAGGACAAAACAGAAGGAAGCAAAUAUUAUAGCAGCAUAAGUUGAAUAAUUGCAGCAAGUAAACAAAUAGAAAGGCUAGCUAGAUUACACAAUCCAGUUCUAGGUCAGACUAACCAUGUUAGCCAUCCGCCCACCACCAUCACCGUCGGCUUCUUAUUAAAAAUGUAGAAUAGAAGACUCAAAAACUGGAAAUGAAAGUAGGUAACAUUGAGUUUUAAUAACCAAAAAGGGACACUGUUUAAGCAGCUCCACAACAGCAAUAAUACUUGGACGAUGAGCUGCAAAAACAGAAAAGAAAACACAAAUUAAACUAAAAAAAUAUAAAAUUUAACACUAAUCCAAGGAUUAAAUAUCAAAUAUAAAGUCAUUAGGAUUGGGACCUUUGCAUUGAGGAAUAUCUACUACAUUAUGAGUUCCCUCCUGAUAAAGCCCAAUCAGGGGGUUUUCCGAUGAGCCAAGAACGGCUAACUUUGCGUGACACCGCCAUCCCCACUAACACCAAACCAAGAUAAUAUCAAGAUCAAAACUAACCAAUACCAGAAAGAUUUUUUUAUUUAAAUUUUAAGAAAAGACCUAAACUUUACGAAAUUAAGGGGGAAAACAAAGUUAAGUAAAGCACCAAUUUGCAACUGUCAAAAGUGAAAUAUGAGACUGCAACUGCCUAGAAGAACUCCGUGGCCUCAUCGACGAUGACCGGAUGGUGGAGAUUGAACUGGUGCGUACACCUGGAGCACCUGAUUAUACACCGAACAUAGAACAAAAUUUAAAUCAAGUCGAACAAUAAUUGUGAGAAAAUAAACUAAAAGGGAUUUGAGCUGAGAGUUACGAUUCGAAGUGCGGCAAUGGAGGGUGCAGGUUAGCGGCGGCAGAGGAGGGGUUGAGCUUGGGCUCAGUGAGAGAGAAGGUAGUGCUAAAGGCACUAUUUGUCAGCCAAUCAUGUAAUAGGCACACCACUUUUCUAUAUAUGACAAAAAUUAGGAGUUCUCCAAACUAAAGCAUGAAAUUAGAUUCACCAGAGAAUUGGAAAUUGCACAUGAAAAAAAUAAUAUACAUCAUGCCAUUUGUGAUUUUGAAAGAAAAAAAGAAUACCUUCUUCAGGUCCGCUUUAGUAGGUGGAGGCUCUUGAUAGAAGAUUGGCAUUGGAGUCGUUUUACAAAUCAGUUUCUUCCUGAACAUCCUAAUGUCAGCUUCUAGAGUUUCCUGUAAAAGAACAGACAACAUUCAUAAUAAGAAAAUCUCUCUCUGCAAUCGUAGAAAUCCCUCGGGUUUCAGGAAGCAAAUGGAAAACGAAAUGCUUUUCUCCCGUAUCUCUCUCUCUCACCUCUGUCCCAUCUCUCUGUCUCCAAAUCGCAGAAAAGAAACCCUAAACAAAUCCCUGAAAUCCCUCGCCUAAAUCCUCCCACAUUUCUCUCGGACACCCCCCUCUUUCUCUCUGCAAACCCUAAACCAAAUCUCCUAAAUCCUAUCUUUGACACCCCACAUACAGCCAAGAUAUUAAAGCAAUCUCUAUAUAAUACUUUGGAACAAUGAAGAAAAAUGGUACUUACUUGUUCCUUGUCCAAAACCGUUGGUGCUGCCGCACAUUGUUAUCAAUUGUGGGUUGAUCAAAUCCUUCAUGGCUUAGACUGCAUGAAGAAUUAGAAACUAAAAGAUGAAUAUAUGCCGUAAAUCAUCAUAUAAAUGUAAGUGCAUUUAAAAAAAAAAAGGGAAUGACAAAAUUGAAUUCUAUUUCAUCAGUAUGUAACUGCAUGAAAAGUUACUUUGAAUGAAGACUCGAUCAAUUUCCCCAAAGUCAUUGUUAACUGAAAAUCAAUAUCAAACCCAUAAAUACCACAUUGAAUUUGACCAAGUUAAAGGAUAAAGGCACUCGCAUCAUCGUAUUACUCUUUGGGAAGAUCUUCUAAUAAUGGUUCUUCCUUUUUCUUGCUCUUCCUUAGAACUGCCAUAAAAACCCCAGAGAAGCAUACAAAUUCAGAAAAGAAAAGGUUCAAAACUGCCAUAAAAAAAAUCUAGAAAGCAUACAAAUUUAUCAGAAAGAAAAGUUCAAAUUACAAAUACCAAAUGAUGUGAGUAAGUAGUGAGAGGUUGUGUUAGGCACCUGAAACACGUUUUGGUUUCAAUUGAAAGGGCCAGAGACAACAUCCACAUUCUUUUUUCUUGGGUGAACUAACCAAAUCAUAUUAUAUACUAAAACGACAUAAAAAAUCAUUCACAAACUCACAACAAAAUAGAACAAAAAGAUUCACAAAAGAUUUGGGAGUUGAGACGCUAACAAAAACAUUUCUUUUCUAAACAAAUACACAACCGCUAAUCUGGGUUUGGUCAGUUUGACUAAAACGGUGCGCUAUUUUGCAUCUAAAUAUAGUAUAUCGCUUAAAUAAAAUUAAUAAAAAAUACACAUCCAAUGCUUUUAGUCUAAAGCUAGAAUUAGGAAUAACUGAGGAAGUUAAUGAAGGCAAAGCAGAGGGUAGGAAGCAGAACAUACCAAGAGACCAGUAGGCCAUCGGGGCCGGUCUGCCGAUGAACGCUGUGUACUGGUUGACAACGCCCAACGGAGUUGGCGCAGAAAAGAAGUAAAAGUCGAAACCACCCUCAAUGACCUUGUAGGUGAGAGAAGUCCCUCUGUAGAACACAUCCAUGCCAUUGCUGUUGAGCAGCAAAACGGAGUGCGCGUAAGCCUCGUUGCCCACAUUCCGGAGAUCCAUGUAAACUGGGUGGGACCCGUACAAAUCAGUGUUGAGAUUGAUCGCUGAGAAGUUAGUGGUGAAGAGGAUGUAUUUAUCGUUCGGGUAGAGCUUGAUCCCGUGCGGCUGAGAGUUCUCUUCGAGGCCGUACAAGGAGGAGUAUUUCGGCACUCGGGUGGAUAUCUUGAGGUCUAGUCCUUAAACACCAGUACUAGUCCAAUAAACCACUCCGCUUUUAUUGAUUUUCAAUUCAUGUUCAUUCGGGUCCCAAACAAGACUGAACGGCCCCAGAGCCGGGUUGUAGGUAUCUACAUAUGAUAUAAGUGCCCACGUGGCCAUCAUUGCGGUUGACACCUAACUUCAUACCCGGUAAAAAUGUGUAUCCAGGAUAAUCACUUCAGCCGAUCGAGGGUGAUUUGAGGUGUUUUCUAGCUGAAUUGGACUUCGACCCAAGUAUGAAAGUUGUUCCUCUUAUCGAGAUCUUCAUUCAUGUAAAAUUUGGGAAUUUUAGAAUUGUUGAAUUCUCCGGCGAGUCAGGGCUACCAGCCGCCACGUGUUUCGGCGCAUGGCCCUUUGGCCGCUGUCCCGUGGCGACUCGUGCGGUGAUGUAUGCAGGAAAACCUAAGGUUCCUCCUUAGGUUUUUCAAUGUACCAAACCCGAAUCCGCCGUCCUUUUUUCAAAAUUCUAACGUUUUCAUAGAGUUUUAUUAAACGACCUUUAAUUGUGUUUAGGUGCAUCGGUGGAGGUGACCUCAUUCUUGAUGGUUCGAGCGGCUUUCGGGCAAUGGAAAACUUGUGAGUGGACCCCUUCUAAACUUAUAUAUUGUUAUAAAAUAUUAGCCUAGCAUGCAUUCCAUAUUUCAUGAUUUGAAUAUGAUUUAUAAUAUGCUUUAUGGACUUUUAUAAUUAUGGUUUACGAAAUAGUUUGAUUUAUCGAAAUUACGUUUUAUUAGGUAUUGAAUUAUUGGAUUUGCAUAUAUGGAUUUCUAUGGUUUUCAAAUACGAUUUAUAUUACGGUUUUACGAACAUGAAUUAUUUUAUGGAUUUCAUGAAUACAAUUUAUCUUGGAUUUAUGAGAUGAGAAUUUGAGCUAGUGAGCUCCGGGUUUGAUAUAAGUUUUGAGAUAUGUUUUUGGUACUUAUCUAGUGGGUUAUCAUACGGCACAUCCGCACACCACGGGUAUAGAAUUGUAUGGCCAUAGGACACAGAUGAUGAGGAGGAGUAAGAUAUGAUAUAUUAUAUACCCCCAGUUCACUGUCGAAAGUAGUGUCAGAUAACUUCACUAGCCAUGGCUAGUGUCGGUAUGGAUGUUAUGCUAUUUCAUACAGCUUCACCUUCGGGUGAUAGACAGGUUAUUUAGCUUCACCUUCGGGGUGAUGGACAUGUACUACCUUCGGCCAACUAUGAUAGCCUUUGUUGAGUACUUCACUGACAAGAUUUACAAAUUUGCCUUCGGGCGACGGCAUUUUCAUUAUCAAGCAUUGGAUUUUACAUAUCUACCUUCUAAAUGGAUUUUCAUGGCAUGCUAGGGUUUUUCAUAAAGCCUAUAUGUAGUAUUAUAUAUGUUUUCAAAACAAGGGGUUAUUAUGUUCAUAAAUAAAAUGUUUUCCUAUUAUUAGUAUUAUUAAUAUAAACUUUGGUCCACUCACAUUUUCAGUUUUUGCGCCUCCACAGGAGUUAGGAUCGAGGCACAUGAUCCCGGCAUCAUGGCAUGUUGAUAUAGGUAUCCUUGAAUCUUCCCAGUGUAGAUAUCAUUCCCUUAUUCAUAUCUUUUUAUAGUGAUUCUUCCCUAUUAUUUCUAAUUAGUUGUAUGCUCUAAACACAUUCCUGCUUUGGUAUAAUCGUUAUAACUACUUAUCUUGUAAUUGUUUGCAUGUUUAAAAUGGUUUCGUCACCCUUGGGCGUGGGCUAGCACGUGCCUACCCUGGUAUGUUGGGAUAUCGGGGUUGGGGCAUGUCAAAGAUAGAGAGUGAAUUUCUAGCAGAUUCAAUGGUUGUCUACAUUUUAAAAAGAGCUUGCCGAAAAGAUUGAUUCAGAUGAAAUAACAAAGGAUUUCAAUUCCAUUAAGGAUUGAAGGGCACAACUUGAAUAGGUAUUUUUCUUUUUAUUUGUUAUGUUGUUAUGACAGGAUUGACGAUGUAUGUUUAUUUAUAUUGUAAGUUGCAACUUUAAAGGUUUUCUUUGUUAAAUCUAGUUGAAACUUGAUUCAUUUAGAGUUAAAUUUCUUACUUCAAAUUGUUGCUUUUAGGCUUAUUAUUGUGUAACUUUAUGCAAGCAACAAAAAAUUUUAACCAUUUGAUUUUGUACUAAUAAUUUUAGCUUAGCAUGCCACCAAAUAAUUCAUGGCUCCGCUAUAGAAAUCUUAGCAUGUGCAAUUUCAAAGUCUCGGUUGCCAAGUCUCCCCAGGCUGUUCAGCACCCAUUCUGAAUCUUGAUCGAGAUCUAGAGCAGUGCAAGUCAAGGAGUCUUCAUUCUCAUUUGAAACAAUGCUAAAAUUAUACCUCAGCUUGGACUCCUUGGGCAAAAUAUACCCAAAUGUAUUAGUACUACUUGUGGAUACACCACUAGUCCAAAAAAAUCACCUCUCCUUUCUUAAUCUUCAAUUGGUGAGGGUCCCAAUCAAGCGUGAAAGGCCCCGGCGCACGGUUGGCUUUAGUUUCCCAUGAUGAAAUCGACGAAACAUGGCCGUUUGUACGGUUGACACCCAAUUUCAUGCCCGGUAAAAAGGUGUCAACUGGUAAUCAAAGCUUUACGUUCACUUCUUCUUGUACAAAAUUUCCCGAAUCCAAAAGGAUAGCCACAACAGUAGCAAUACUGUACUUAUGUUGGUAGACCUAGUAGUUUGUGGAGCUGAGAAAAACGCAAUUGGAUUAGGAUCCCCCCCGCAUAAUUUUCAAGGUUUUAUUCCUGUCCAAGGCAAGAGUGCGUACAAAAUAGGGGCUUUACGGUUGCAAAUCCAAGCAAUGUUGCCAUCGGCCUUGUUGCUCUGGAUAGAUACGUAGCUGGUGCUUUUGGAACUGUCGUCGUGUACACAGGAACUGAAACUGAACUUCUCCGAUGCAGAGACCAAAGAACUUGAGGAGUUGAGAGUGUCUCCUGCUGGUUUCAGUGUGUCCCUUGCACUUGCAGCAUUGUGACAGGUCCACAGUCAGCAUGCAAAAAUGAUUAAGUUGAUUAUUGCCAUGAUUAAUUAAUGACCAUAACAUGAAGUUUAAUUUCUCCAUAUGAUGAGGAAGAAAGACAUGAAAUCCAUCACCAGAACAUGAUUAAGAAUUUAAUCAAGCAACGCGUCUUAGUUAAACCGUUACAAUCUUUGUACAAGGCAUUUAUAAAUUAAAAAAAAAGGGAAUAAAGUAAUAAUUACAAGUUUUACACAAGUGACCAUUUAUUACAAUGGUGGAAAGGUGUUAAGCUUUUGCAUGACGGUGUGAGUUCGAACCUCGUCGGUAGUUAAUCUAACUUAUAAUCUAAUAAAAUCUAUUUUUUGACCAAAAAAAAAUAAUUACAAGUUUUACUAAAAAUUUAGGGGUGUGAUAUCCACACACCCCUUUUUACUUCUCUCACACAUUUUUGAUUUCGACCGUCAAAUCGGAUGAGUUGAAGAAGAUCAACGGACAGAAAUUAACAAGGGAUGUGUGAGAAGUAAAAAGGGGUGUGUGGAUAGCACACCCCAAAAUUUACCGGAAGACUUGAUCACCCAUUUGUAUGCUGACAACGGUGACUAGAUUCACAACCUCUUUCCCACGUAAAUCACAUCAUCCAAUUUUAUUUUUCUUACAACAUAUCACGCAUCUGUCAUAUGCAAGACUUUUUUUUUUGUAUAACAUGAAAAAGAAGACUUUUUUGGAAUAUGGAGAGUGAAAUUGCAGCGGAAGCAUCCUAGAUUUUUGAUCGAAUAUUGAGUUUGGUUUGAUGACAGACUUCCUGGAUCAAACACACCCUAAAAAAUAUAUAUAAAAAACCAAUAAGGUCAUGUGAUACGACAUCAUUUCAAGAGGAAAGGUAAAAACAAUCUAGUUUCUAUACUAGGAAGAUUCACUCGAACAAAUUCUUGGAAACUAUGACUCAAACAAAAUUCUAGGAAUUCAGUAUUUUUAACAAAUGAUAAGCGUUUAAGAUAUAUUCUUUAUAAUAUUAGAGAAAUCGAACGGUUGAUGUAUAACUCGCAAAGUGGUUGUAGCUCAAGUAAUUUUACUCCCCAAUUUUACAUAAAACAUAAAAUAAAAACAAAUCCUAAUUUACAUGGUAAUUUUUUUUCAUAGCUAGGGACAACUUCGACUAUGGUAAUGCAAUUAAUAUACACUAGUUUUGGAUGGAGAAGUUUCAAGAUUGAGUAUGGGAUGGGGAGGGGCGAGAGACUUGGAUGGAGAGGUGAGGUUUUAUGAGUUAAACAGUGAUGCAAGGAUGUAUUACUUAAAACUUUAGAGACCGUAUGUUGGGCUAUAUAUAAUAUACGUUCCAUGGAUAAUUGUUUAACUCAUAAACGUUUUGAGUGUUUCUAACAUAUGCUUAUCAAAAGCCUUCUCGUUCCAUCAAACAAUACGAAAAUUUUCAAUUGAAUGAAAGACAUACUAUUUUAUAUAUCACAGUACUUCAUGGAUCAUCAUCAUCACAUAUCCUUAAUUCAAAGGUAAUAAAUGAGCAUCUAGUUUUAUUUUAAUUUUAUUUUAUAUAGGGACUACAGAAGCAAGCACCCUCUGUAAAUUAAACUCUAAAACUUCUCAAGUAUCUUGAAAGGUGCCAAAAGCCAUCAGCCAACUCCAGUUGAUGCAUAACCUCCUACAUUUACAAAAACAGCGUCGCCGUUAAUUUAUUGACUUCUUCCCAGGACACAUACCAAUUUGCGAAAGUGGUUUGACUGAUGCUAAUUAGUCGAGUAAAGUACAGUCUUUUCAAUUAAGCAGAUGCAAAACACUUAGUUGAGGCACUACAAAUAUGAUUUUUACCUUUAAUUAACGCGCUUCAAAAUCUGAACUGGACAUGUAGUUUGCUGAAGCAACAGUUUCAAGUUGCUGAUUCCCACUUAUACCAGCCUCCACCGUCCUCCUUCCAACAAAAAAUGCUGGCUUUGUUGGUGAUGCUAAUCGAAAGCUUUCAUUUGUCAACAUAGAUAUGACAUCUGACAUGGUAGGGCGAUCUGCUGCAUUUUCUUCUACGCAAAGCAGACCGACAUGGAUGCAUCUUAACAGUUGCUCUUUAAUAAACGAAUUUCCUAAUGUUGGAUCCGUUAAUUCUAGCCCUGCACCUUUUUUCCAUAACUCCCAUGCCUGAAGAACAAGGAUUGCAUUUCAUUCUAAAGAAGAAAAAUAUGAUUAUAAAUUUUAAGAGAGAGAUUUGUUUGUCAUACAUAUCCUACUAAAUUGAGUGCGCGAUCGUCAUUGUAAAAGCUGUUGUUUUUCCUUCCACUUAUGAUUUCAAGCAUCAAUACCCCGAAACUGUAGACAUCAGACUUUACAGAAAUAAUUCCCCCCACGGACUCUGGAGGCAUGUAACCACUGCACGAAAUGAAAAAGAAAAUUAGUCAGUAUACUUAUCUGGAAAAAUGCGUGUUUAGCAGUCAAAAGGGGAGGACCACGUCAAUGUGAUGCAGAAAUACUUACAGUGUCCCCACAACCUUUCUAGUGUUUGCUUCCAAUUCAUUUUGGGUGAAAAUCCUUGCCAUACCAAAAUCUGAAAUUUUUGGGUUCAUGUUUUCAUCAAGUAGUAUGUUACUAGCUUUUACAUCUCUAUGAAUUACUUUCUUUCUUGAGUAUUUGUGCAGAUAAAGCAACCCUUGAGCAAUUCCUUCGAGAAUGCUAAAACGCUUCUUCCAAUCUAGUAGUAGACCUCUGAUUGGAUCUGUCCAAUAUGUAGAGUUAAGUAGGACUAAUAUUAAUUAAUAGUAGUACUCUAUGAACUUUGACAGUAAAAUAAAAAUCAGAUAGUAAAUUUAACAAAUGAAAUCAAGUAUCUUGGUUCCUCACCAAAUAAAAAGUGGUCCAAACUUUUGUUCUGCAGAUACUCAUAUAUCAACAUCAUUUCUUCACCAUGAAUGCAAAAUCCGAAAAGGUGAACCAGGUUUGUAUGUUUGAGUUCAUAUAUAAGUAUCAGUUCAUUCUUGAAUUCUGAUGUUCCUUGCCCUGAACAUUUCGAAAGCCUCUUCACAGCUAUUUCUUGUCCCGUCGCCAAUUUCCCCUGAAUUGAUAAUCCAUAUCAUGUUUUUGCUGUCAUCUUUAGGCAAAUGAAGCUAAUUCCAUUUUUUUUCUUACAGCUUUUGAAUUAGAAGCAGAAAUAUUUUUUUUUCAAAAUGUUACCUUAUAAACCGGUCCAAACCCUCCUUGUCCUAGCUUGUUUUCUUCAGCGAAGUUUCUUGUGGCAGCCACGAUGGAUGAAUAGCUAAAAACGCUAAAAUCAUGAUGUCGCUUAGAUUUCAUGAAGAUAAGCAUUUCGUUCUCAAUCUCUGGCCAGUUCUCACCUAUACAGAUCAAUUAUAAGAAAUUAAAGUUUCAAUGGAGACAACAAUUGUCAAAGAUGUGAUUAAUAAUCCUGUCUUACUGGUGCACAUGAUUUAAAGAAAUAUACCAGCUGAUGCAAGGGCUGAUCUUCUUCGUCGGAGUAGAUAGUACGCGGUGCAAAGCACUAGAGCAGCAGCUAUAGAAAUGCCAAUCCAAACCCAUUUAUCUGCUGCAUCAUAAACAAUUAGCUAGCAACAUAUGCAAUAAGUGUAACACACACGCACAUGUACGCAUUAAUUGUCUUCAAUUUUUGGAUGAACUAGGUCUUGCAGGUUUCUUCCGGAAAACGAAGAAAAAUUCGAGACAGAGAGCAGAACUUAAGACAACAAUAACAAAGAUAGAGGUACCUAAUAAUACUGAUUCCACGCGUGUCACAGAUUUCCGGCUCAAAUCGGGUUUGCAGCCUCGGUAUAUAUCCUUCGGAUCAAGAAAAGAAAACCCUUUUGGGCAUUCGCAGGUUGGCCUUUUAUCUGGUUUGAGCAUACAGGUACUGUUGUAACCGCAAACACCAACGCCCAGUCGUAGGCAAAUAUCAUCCGGCAUAUACACCAGAGGACUAAUCCAACUUGCAUUUCCCGUGAAGUUUUUCGGGUGAGAAUAUAAAGCGAAAAUCCCAUCAAAAUCAAGAGUUGCCCUU